AGAAGAAGAAAGCUUGUGAAUUGGGUUCGGUGUGCGGUUUCAUUUAGAAAGACAGAAGAGAUAAAUCCAGCCGUAUACAGUACUUUUUAUUCCUAGUUUUUCCUCUGAUUAUCGAAAGUUAUUUUUCAACCUACUUUGUUUUAUAGGAGAUCAUAGCAUCUUUGUUGUUCAUUUUCUUUUAAUUUCAUUUGUUUUCUUCUGAUCACAGAAAGACAACUAGAUAAGAACAUCUUGAGUUUUCUUUCCUCUCCUGUUCCUUUUUUAAUUCUUCGUCACAUGUAAAGAAGAUAGGCUUGAUAAAAGAGUUUGGGCUCUCAAUCAUGUUCUUUUGUUAAGAUUGUGAGCAGGUUCUACCUAAUUUUCUCUAACAUAUCUCAAAUCUUUCCACGUAAUUUUGAUUCUCUAGAUCUCUUAGAUAUCCUUCUAUUCUGUGAAUCUUUUGAGUUUGAGGUAAAUCCAUCGGUAUACAGUACUUUUUACUCUUGUUUUUCCUCUGAUUAUCGAAACUUAUUUCUCAACUUACUUUGUUUUAUAGGAGAUUACAGAAUCUUUGUUGUUCAUUUUCUUUUAAUUUCAUUUGUUUUCUUCUGAUCGCAGAAAGAUAACUAGAUACGAAACAUCUUGAGUUUUCUUUCCUCUCCCGUCUUUUUUUUUUUAUUCUUCCGUAAUAUGUAAAGAAGAUUGGCUUGAUAAAAGAGUUUGGCUCUCAAUCAUGUUCAUUUGUUAAGAUUGUGAGCAGGUAAUACCUAAUUUUCUCUAACAUAUCUCAAAUCUUUCCACGUAAUUUUGAUUCCCUAGAUCUCUUAGAUCUCCUAUUCUGUGAAUCUUUUGCGUUUGAGAUAAAUCCAUCCGCAUACAGUACUUUUUAAUCCUUGUUUUUCCUCUCGAUACUUAUUUCUCAUCUUACUUUGUUUUAUAGGAUAUCAUAGAAUCUUUGUUGUUCAUUUCCUUUUAAUUUCAUUUGUUUUCUUCUCAUCGCAGAAAGAUAACUAGAUACGAAACAUCUUGAGUUUUCGUUCCUCUCCUGUCUUAUUUCUUUUAUCCUUCGUAAUAUGUAAAUAAGGUAGGCUUGGUAAAAGAGUUUGGGCUUUCAAUCAGGUUCAUUUGUUAAGACUGUGAUCAGGUUCUACCUAAUUUUCUCUAACAUAUCUCAAAUCUUUCAACGUAAUUUUGAUCCUCUAGAUCUCUUAGAUCUCCUUCUAUUCUGUGAAUCUUUUGAGUUUUUUUGUUGUGUAGUUCUAAAUAAAAACACAGAGUUUUUCAAAGGAAAAUAAAGGGGGGAAAAAAAAAUAUAAGAGAGUCGCUAUGGAACAUUCUCCUUUGAAUCCAACAAGAAUUGCCAACGUUAAUGGAAGAUCUAUGUUCAUAUCUUUUAAUUCUUCCCUUCCUUUGAGCCACCAUCACUUUUUGAAUGGAAGUUUGGGGCCAUUAGUGUCACAUCCUCCACCAUAUAAUUCUCUUCCAUGUUUUGCUUAUCCUUCUCUACGUCAGCCCGCCCUCCUUCCUCUCCCUGACACAAAAUCCACACAGAUUCUGUCGCCAGCCAAGAAGACUGCCACGACCACCAGAUUCAAUCAGCAACAGCAUCAGAGGAAGUCGAGGCCCUCGGCAAAGCCGAAGAACGGAAAAGCCACCAUCCUUGCAACGGACCAGAAAUCCAAGGCAGAAUCAUCGGAAGAAGAACAAGAGGAAAGGGAGGAUGUCGUGGAAUCGGUUUACUCGAUCUCGCCUCCGCCAAGCAGCCUUCCAUUGCCGAGAUUCUCUCUUCCAAGGCCGAAGUCUGCUGCCCCAGCCGCAUCCUGUGUCAUUGAGGCCGUGGAAGGUGGUGGCGGCAUUGACAUCGGCGCCACCAAUAGUCUCCGCCGCUUGCUCCGCCUUUAGGAGAGCAUGCUAGUUUCUUUUCUAUGUGUGAUUUUUGAUGUGUCCGUUGAAAUUUAAAUUUCCAUAGCUGGAAGAAAAUGAAAGGCUUAGCACUAAAUGAAUACCAAUCACAAUAAUGUAUGGACUUUAAAGAUGUGAACAGGUUUAACUAAACUUCUCGAUGUAAUUAGCAAGUCUCGGUUUGCAAAUUGUUGCGGGAUGGGCAUCGGGGGGCAUCGAGCCCGAAAGUCGCAUACCAGAAACAUACAAGAGAGCCUACUAUUUAUUAGUGUGAGUUCCUCCUCUCCCACGUGAGGCGCCUUUUGGGGGCAAAACCGUGAGGGGCGGAUGAUACCGGAUCAAAGGUUCGGAUCUCGUCCCAAAGCGGAUAAUACUUCACGAUUGGAUGAAGGAGAUGGUUCCGUACUAAGGGCAGUAGAUCUCAACAGAUGGCGCCGUCUGUGGCAAUCUGUCCCCUACCUGCAGCAGUACGCUCCCUUGCAGGGAAGACUGUUGCGGGAUGGGCAUCGGGAGCAUCGAGCCCGAAGACUAUAUGUGAUUAUCUGUAAAAACACAAUGACUAUGAUCACUAAUUAGUUUUUUCACGGAUGUAUAGUAAAGAAGAAGGGAUAUUUGCCCUCUAAAAUAAAGUUAAUUUAUGCUAUAUUAUUAUUAGUAUUGUUUUAUUUUUUUGCUAAGAUCGAUUCUAAUAUGAAUAUAUUCCUAAAAAAGAUAAAUUAUUUCAAAAAUGUUAAGUCGGGUCUACCUCACCAAAAUAUUUAUCCUCAGCUCCAUUUAUCUCACGAAAGAUGUGCCUCACAAAAAAUAAUGUAUCUUCUCUUGGCAAUCUCUAAAUACUUUACAAAUCCAUCCAAUCAUCAUAGGAGAGUCGCCCUCAACAUAUAUGAUAGUAGCCUUCAAUCCUGCUUUGGGGAUUAAGGUAUCAAAGAUUAGACUUCCUCCCUGCUGAAAGCCUGAAAUCCGGGCCUCUAUAUUUUUUUUCUUCAACAAAACAAUGAUCAAAACUCAUCCCUAUUUUAAGAGAGUAAAAUAAAUGAUAUGACCAAAUUAUAAUCAUACUGUGGCUGCCGCAUGGUGCCUCUGAUAAAGGUACCAGGCCAGUCCUUUUCAACGAAAGCAAUCCUAUCUGCCGGAACUCCUUGUCAUGUUGGUUGAUGUGCCAGAACUCCUUGUCAUGUUGGUUGAUGUGACAGAAGAUGAUGUGAUUAUUUUAAUGCCAGCCGUUUGAAAUGUAAAUGUAUUGCACUCAGUUACGCAAUCCAUGCUGCCAUGUAGAUCACUAAUGAAAUUUGUUGGAAACGUGUAAUGAAAAAAGUGAAUAAUGGGAAGAGUUGCGUUCUUAAAUCAGCAGGACAUGCUCUACUUAUCAGAAGCCACCUGUAAAGGUUGCAGGAUUCCUUUUGCAACUUCCAACUUCCCCUCUGAUAAUAUAAAGAAUUAAUUAAACUAAGAAAACUCAAUUUCUACAUUUAUGUUGGCAAAAAUUCACAGGCAGAGUUCCAAAUAUAGCCAAACACAAAAACUUCGAUUAAACAUGAACACGUGCGCGUCGUACAUGCGCGCAUAGAGAUGAAAUUUAAUGAACUAACCAACCACUUAUACUAUCCGAUACAGAAUAUAUCAAACUGUAUCAAUAUAACAUAUUAUCUACGAUACUAUCAUACUGUAUCAAAUCAUAUAUUAAUACCAUAAUAAAAUAUUAUCAAUAUAGGAUCUGGUACCAAAAUAGCAAACCAUGAUUAGAGAUAUUUUGAUUCUGCAUUGAUCGUUCUCACCCUUGUGAAAUCUAAAUACAAUAGCUGAACAUAUUCUAUCUAUUACAAUUAAAUCUCAUCUGACCAAGGAAAGAAAUCUCUAUAAUCCUCAGGAGGCAUCUCCCUCUCAUUUAAAGCAUGAAUCUCAGCAGCGUCCCCUCUUUUCGUUUUAUGCACACUCAAGAGUUCCAUUCCAUAAUUUAAAUAGGUGAGGAAAGUGAGAGAAUUGAUAAACAGACCUAGUCAAAAACACAGCUUCUAAAUAAGAUAAAUUAUUCCAAAUCAUUCAAAGGAGCUUUACAAUGAAUUCAGAACAUUAUUGGCACCCCUAAAACAAUAAUUUGCCUAAAACGUAAAUCCCAGAUCAUGUUGGUACAAAAAGAACUUGUCUUGAAUUUUCAGCUCAAAGCUUCAGCUCUUGCAAAAGGCAUGAAGAGUGUCAUCAAGGGCCUUCCUGUCGUAAUUGCCAGUGAAAACACAAUUGCCUAGAGGUCCUUUAAGAAGGAUGAGCCUUAGCAAUCCAUCAGCCACCUUUUUAUCAACCUACAACCCUCGUGGAUCCAAAUUUUAUGAUUAAGAAUUGCCAGAAGAAUCAUUUUGUCUCUCAAAAGAAUUUCCAUUAGAAAUGGAGAAGAAUAUCUAUCACUUACCGCCAUAGCAGUUUUAAAUUUCUCCACUGUCAUCAUCUCAGGUGGUGUUGUUGGAAGCUUAGCCUGCCGUAGGAUGUUAAGGACCCGCUUUACUAUUGUAUCAUCAAUCCAGCCUAGGCGAUGGGACAUGUCAACUGCCAUCACCUACAAAUGAAAACCAAACAACUUAAUUUAACACAACUGCUUUACUGCUUUACAAUAAUAAGAAUCAAAGAGCAGUGUCUGUCUCACCAUUCCAGCCGCAACAGCUUCCCCAUGGAGCCACUGUCCAUAGCCAAAGCCUGUCUCAAUAGCCUAAAAUGAGAAAUAUCAACAUGAGAAUGUCAUGCAUCUUAAUAAAUAACAUUGGAAGUUGCACAACAUGAAGGUUAAAGCAUGAAAGUGAAAGAGGAACAAACUUUAUUAAAUAAAAGCAUAAUCAUUUCUCAGUUACAUGUGGUCAGUAAACCUUCAAACGAAAAGGACAAUCAAAGUUGCAGAAUAUGAGCACUUAAUUAAAAGAAAAAACUUCCCAGAUAUUUGGGUCAGUGGGAACAUAUAAGACUUCAACAACCCUUAGAAAGAUACUGUACGUCUUUUUGAUAAAAAGCCAUGAUUUAGAGUUUCAAUCUGCACCAUGAAGAGCAAGCUUUGAAGUUUGAAUUGUAGAUCUGGGGAGAUGGACUAAUUAGUACACAACCACUGGGUGAAAUGGUUUCUUUCAAAGUUAUAUCCAACACGAGCAGUGCUAGUCUAACACAAAUCUCAACACAAUAAAGUUACACGGCUAAUGUGUGAUGCUACUGUUGCAUCCUUUAUAGCUGGCGCCAUGGUUGCCAGACUGAGAAGCAAGAGGAAGUUAUAUAUCGGCUGCACACCUUUAAAAUAUGAUAUUUGUGUUACCAAACCAUCAUCCAUUAAAUAUCAAUAUGCCCUACCAAUUGUGAAGGCAGGUCUUUUUUUCUGUUCCUAUGGGUUUCAGACCAGCCCACUCCAAAACCACUCCUAGAUACUUAUGAAUAUAGGCCUGGCCCAACCGGAAAUCCUAUUAUCCAACAGACUGUACCGGCCCUAUCCAUGAAUUGAAUGGAAUUUUCAGCCCAAUCAUCCAAACAUGCCCUAAGUAUUUCACAAUAUCAACUAAGAAGUGUUUCUACAUGGCGCAAAAGUCAAAAAGCACCUUUGAGAGAAGGUACAAAAACUAAAUUCUGGCUUCUUCUAUGAGAAUGUCCCACGUCUUUCAAAUAUGGUAGGCCCAUCUACAAAAGGUAGUUAUACAAAUGUGAUUGGCAAACACCAAAUACAACAAGUACUCCUUAGGUAAGAACCUAAAUGAAUCUAAUUUUCGAAAAUGACCCCUUUUUCUUUGGUACAGAAGCAACGCCAAACACACCCUAAAUCAGUUUGAUGGAUGAUUCAUGUCCACCAGUGUGUAUUGCAUAAACUAAAAACCUGUUCUACUAAUAUCAUAUUUUCUGCAAAGCACAAUAUCACAAUCCAUUUUCAGCUCAUAUUAUGACACUGUUUAGAGUUGUCAUAUUGACUUCUUCACUUUGACUGCAACAGACUGAAGAUUCAGUUAUAUAUUUUAAUAAUGAAAGAAAAUUAUAAAAUUAGUGGAGCAGCUUUCAUCUAUGAACACACCUAAUUGCCAUAUAAUUUGUAAAGCUUAUGCAGCUUUUGUUAGAGAAAAGCAUAUAUUAAUCAGUAUAAUUAGUAGUAAAUACUUUAGAGGGAAACUUCAGAGCAAGGUUUAAAGCAUUGGUAUUGCAACCUUGGUUGUGCCUACAUACCAGCAUAUAGGACACCUUCUGCUUCUGGCAUGGAAAAGGAUGAGGCUGCUGCACAUAUGUUGCGUAGUAUCGGUACAAGAGGCAUACCAGUACUAAUUCCUUAUCAAUAUGAUCUGAUAUUGGCCGGUACAGGCAGGUACUCAAAUCCUUGCUUUAGAGAGGCUGCUUUUAACAAUGAAUUAGCAUAAUGGUAAAUGGUCAAGCAGCAACAACCAUAUACCAAGAGCCUGCUCCCACAUCUUGACAAAUAACAAGAAGAUUAAUAAAUACACAUUUUUGACCUUCUAUGACACCAGUGGAUCAGGACAAAUAGAUCCAUAUACCAGCAUCAGAUUUGGGUGGCGCCGAGUAAUUGCUAAGACUUCAAAAUGAGCUUGGUUAUCUUCUUGAUAACUGGCUAAUAUUUUAUUUAAAAAAGUGAUAUUACGUUACAGGCUUGGAAUCUAAAAUAAAAAAUAUGAAAGAAGAAGCCAUAUUUCAAGUGUCCUCAACAUUAGAGGUCAAACUAUUUCCGCACCUCCUUCCAAGCCCUCAGAUGUAGCAUUUCUUGAUUUACCCUCCAUAAUUACUUUAUUACAUGGCAUGACUUUAUUAUGAAGAAAGUUACAUCCUCGUUUUCCUCAUUACAAUUUUUUUUAAGCAACAAGUGAAAAAAAAGGUUUAAUUAUCAAGGUAAAGUAAAAAUUGAUUAAAACUUGAAUGAUAUUGUCAGUCUGAAGGGGCUGCAGUUGGUUGAAUAUGAUCAGAGUCACUUAGGGAACAUGUUCAAGUCCAACAUUAGGUGGAAACUUCUGGAGUUUGACACGUUGUGGCCAGGUUUCAAACAAAACAAGUUAAGCCUAUAAAUUGUUUUUUAAGCUAAAAUAACAAAAAAAUAAAUAAAAGAAAGACAAGCUCAACCGACAUUUUGUAUUUGAACAGGCUUGAGCCCAAAUAUACCAAGUUUGAACUCUAUACACUUUAACCCAAUCAGCAGUCAGCCUAGACUCAUAAAUGUUAAUUCUAUGAAGCCCUAUCAGAUUUCAUUUCACUAAGUUUAAUUCAACCCAUGAAAAAUUAAUUUGUGAAACAGGCUUCCCAUUUUCCUCACUUAAAAUUAAAAAAAACGAAAAUGCAGGAGAAAAUUAAAAGGAAUUGGCUAGAAAGCACUGAGCCAAGGAAAAGUUUUUAAUUUAAAAAAAAAAAGCAAACCACCCACUUAAAUACUAUCUUAACUUGUAAUAGUAUGUCCUCAAGGGCUGCACUCACCUCUGUCUUAUAAUACCUCCUCUGUUAUGCUUUAUAGGCAUCAAGAUUUACUACCCCUUUUCUCUCCACCUACCUUGGAUGGACACAUCUCCAUAUUUAUUUCUUCUAAAGAUACCAUGGCUGAACUAUUUCUCAGAGCAGCCCUAUAUGAGACAAUGAACUCCAAAAAUUCUACCCACGUCCCAAUUGAACGAAAAACAGUACAACAUUAUAUGAAAUAAUAGAAUAUGCAGUGUCACUCAGAAGCUCACCAUAAGUUAUCUAAAUUACCACAAAGUCUCCCUAACAAGAAACAAUUAGACAACACAUGUAGGUAUAUGUCCACUUUGGUCACCCUACCCUAAUCCCAUAAGAUACAAUCUUAUCUAUAUUUGUGUUCUCCUGAGCAGUCCAAAUCAUGAAAGUAAGUACCAAGGAAUCUCCUGUCCAUCACUUACCCCAUUAAAGUCUUUGCACAAAAUCCAUAUAAUAUAUGCUUUUGUAUCUUUUCUCCAAUUUGACAUAGACCAAGAAGGUUAGGGCUGCUUGAGGUUUAUUUGCCGAGGAAAGAAAAGAUCCAUAUUUAGGUAUGAUAUAUAAUUCCAAUUUCUGUUAAUAGUGAAAGUAAUUGACAGAAACACAGCAAAGGAAGGGGAAAAAUGGAAAAGUAAUUAACAGAAUACUGCCAGUUUAACUAGCUUGACAUGUUAAGUAACAUAUAUUGAAGCAUAUGUUCAUUGGACAGAAUUAAGCAUAAUCUACUAGAUUCUGGAAAUGCAAAUUUAGCACAUGAAAUGACAUAUGAACAGCCAGAAAUAAAAAAAUGAGCAUAAGGUGAACAAGUAAACGAAACAAAAGAUCCAUAGAACAUUGGUGGGCAACUAAACACUCACAUGACCAAAUGUAUGACCCAAGUUCAAGGUUGCCCGCAAUCCACUUUCCUUCUCAUCCAAAGCAACGACUUCAGCUUUGUUUUCACAUGAUCGCUUGAUAGCAUAUGCUAAGGCACUUGGGUCUCUGCAACAAUCAUGUAUAUAUAAGAACUAACGAAUAAAUGAAGUUCAUUAUUAUUGAAAUAGAUGCACAGAAAAGUCUACUUACGCAACAUAACUUCUUUUCAGCCUUUCUAGUUCUGUUGAUUGACAAAUGCUGAAAUUUAAACUGAUGGAAAGGGCUAGUGGAAAGAUUUUAUAGUAUCAAGAUAGAUAAAGCAUGAUUUGCUAUAAUCAAUCCUGCUUGGCAUACAACAAUUUUUUAAAAAAAGAAAAGUAACUUUGACAAAGGUUUCACAGCAAACGUGACAAAUAUGCAAGAUUUGACUGGUUGUAGAAGAUGAAAUUGAAAGUUUCAGAACUGAGAAAAAUAGUUAUAUUGGUAACGAAAGAUAUGUCAGAAUGUGAACAGCCUGUGAUGUUUAUCUUGUGAAAAUGCUCCUAACUGGCAAAGGAGAAGAUACUCAGUGGCUAUCCUAGCUUGUUUGUCAAUUUAUUUCACAUGCUUUUUUGAACCUAAAGGGGGUUAUAUACAGUAUUAAAAAGCUUAAGGCACACUUCCACAAGGCAAUUCCAAUGACCACACAUUCUAUCAAACAACAUUCAUGAUGGUUUGGCUUCCCUAAAAGAUCUUUAAAGUUUAAGCUUUUGGAGUAAGAGCUUUUCAUAAUGUCUUACGACAGAACUGUCACUCCUGAAUUUACAUGGAAGUCAAAUAAACCUCCACUAGGUCCAAUGGAUUUAACUGUUGUAGAAAAGAGUUUGCUGAAGUUUGAUAUCUUUUAAAGCAAAGUUUGAAUUAUGUUUGUGGAUAUUUUUUAGGUUGGCUCUGAAAUUUUGUUUGAUGGGUAUUGAUACACAAGCAUGUCCUAGAUAAUCACAUUCUCAUAGGUCAUAAAUCAUAACUUCUAACAUUGACUGGUGGGAACAAUGUUCAAAAAGGUGAUGAUGGUAUGCGAGCACCGCAGAAACUGGAGACUAGUUGUAAAGGUAUUGUUCUUCAUGUCUCGUUCAUCAACAAGGAUCAAGCUAGUCUAGGGAUCUAUAGUAAAAUGUAAUUCAAGUGAAGCUAAAUUGGGCAAAGUCACAAAACUAUUGCAUUUCAAGGACUUGAAGUAGUUUUUGUUGAUAUUUCAAUUAUGUCUCACAACACAUUGAAAUAAUUAGGCAUAGAAGGUGAACAUGCAUGACAGCAACGCAUAAAAGUUGUAUAGAAGUAGAAUAAUCACCAGAUAAUAUCUUCAUGAUGGGAUUAUCUUUGCUUUUCUAGUUUGUGCUCUAUCCCUUUGACUGUAACACUGUAUGUGUAACUCCAUUUCUGGAUCCAGACUAUUUACCAAAUAUAAAUCAGAAAAUGGUAUGAAGGAAAAUUUAAUGUUGGAGAUAAGUCAGCACCCAUCGCAAAGCAUCUUAACUUAUUCUAGUUUGCAAGCAUCACUACUCAUUUGCAAUAAACAUAAUAUAUUUAUUUUAUAAUCAUACCUUGCUAGCAGUGCCUGUACGUUCUUUUCUUGCCACUCAAAAAACUCUGCAUCUCUGAUGAGCCCAUACUUCACAACUUCUGCUAUACCCGAAGCCAGUUCCCGAUCAGGCAAUGUAUUUAGAGUGUCCGUGUCUAUAAGUACAGACUGUGGUUGGUAGAAGGCACCAAUCAAGUUUUUCCCCAAUGGAUGGUUUAUUCCAGUUUUCCCCCCAACUGAUGAAUCCACCUAGAUUACAAAAGCAUCAAUUUUCUCUGAUAUUAUCCACUUAAAAGUAAAUAAUUACUUCAGCAUACAGACUAAAUCCCAGAGUACCUGAGCCAUUAGAGUAGUUGGAAUCUGAAUGAAAUUAACCCCACGAAGAAAAGCAGCAGCAGCAAAACCACACAUAUCACCGAUGACUCCACCACCCAGUGCCACAAAGGUACAACGCCGAUCCAUCCUGGACUCUAUGGCCUUAUCAAAGACUUUCAUCAAUGUUUCCUAGAGGAACCCCACGAAGAACUGGUUUACAAUACUUAUAUCGCAACCCAAACGAUCAAAAGACAAAAGGAGAGGUUUUUCCAAUAGACCAACCAUGUUCUUGUAUGCUUCCCCGUCAGGUAAGAUCACACUCUCAACGGAAAUGUUGGAAUUCCCAUGAGUCAACGCUUUGAUAACUUUGUCAAGGUACAGUGGCGCAAUCGUGGUGUUAGUUACCACCAGAACCCGCUUUCCAUGUACAUGCCUAAUUCAGGGGGCAAACUUCGGAUAUCAUCUAAGAGAACAAUAAUCCGACAAUCCAGGCGAGGAAAACAGACAAAAGAUCGGAUUAAGCGAGACGAGUACCUCUGGAGAAGAUCGGGUUCGUCGAGCAGGCCGGAGCCGAUGUAGAUCGGGUAACUCCGGUUGCCAAGAUCGACCUCCACGAUCGUGGACACCUUGGAAUCCGCCUUCCACGGCACCUCCUCCAUCACCGGAGAGGUGCUCGCGGAGAUCCUCAAGCGCUUCCGAGCGAACCGCAGGGAGAUCGACGACGAAGCGAGGAAGGGGAGGUCCAACUCGCCGCGGCGGAGAAGGAGGACAGCACGGUGGCCGGAGACCGACCCGGGAAGGCGGGUGGCGGCGGGAAGCUUGGGGAACGAACGGAGAGUGAUCGAAGAAGUGGAUACCGCCAUGGAUCAGAAAUUGGGUUAGGAUUUGGGGGAGAGGACGGGAAAGGGGUUGCAGAUGGCCUCCGUCGUCGUCGGCGCCCACCAUCGCUUCUCUCUUGGCUGGGCCGGGGCUGGGUUGGUGGAUGGAGGUGGGUUGGUAGCGCACAUGGGCGCGCGUGAAGAUUCCGCACGUGCGGGGAACGGCCAUGUUACGCAUGCGAAAAAAUUCAAAAAAAAAAAAUCAAAAAAAGAAAAGAAAAAAAGAAACAGAUGUUAUGAAUAUUAUGUUUGUGGAUAUCCUUUGGCAUCCUUCAACUCCCAAAUCCAUAACAUCCCAUGUAUUUAAUUUUUCUCUUUAUUUUUAAUUUAUUAUAAAUACAACUACUUAUAAACAUGAGCCUAUAAAUAGAGAUCAUAUAAUUCAUAAUGCAUGCACUUGAAAAUAAAAUAAAAAAAGCUUCUCUAUUUCUCUCAUCCUCUUUAUCUUUAAUUUCAAUUUACUUUUUUAGUUAUAUUUUAUAGCACAUUAUCAGCAUGAUGCUCGAAUUUGUUAAAUUUUGAUAUUAUCUUUUCAUCGCUUCUAUAAGUAGAGCUCUAUUUCUUCAGAUAAUUUUAAUUUCAUUAAAUUCUUUGGUACAAACUUAUUAUAGUAGUAGAUGUAUACGUUUAAAUUAUAAUUUUUGCUUCAUGUCCAUCAAAAAUUUUUGUCUCUUAAUUAUAUAUAAUAAUAUUCAAAAUUAUUAAAAUAAUCUUUAUUUGAUGAAAGGUAAGUUGGAAAGUUAACCAUCUUUCAAAAAAAAAGAAUGCAUUAUCUAUUAAUUUGUUAAUACUUGCAUUCAUUUUUUAUUAUAUGUUGAUUAAUAAUUUCAUAAUUAUUAAAUCAUUAUUAUAUUGAAUAUUUAUUUUUUUAAUUUAUUUGCUAUAUCCUAUGAUAGUUUUCAUCAUGUCAAAUUUUGCAAAGCUUGAAUUUGUGACUCUUGAUAUUAUGGACAAGAAUUAUCUAUCAUGGAUACUAGAUGCUAAAAUUCAUCUUCAUGCUAUGGGUCUUGGAGACACAAUUAAAGAAGCAAAUAAAGUAUCCAAUUAGGAUAAGGUCAAAACGAUGAUUUUUCUUCAUCACUAUCUUCAUGAAGGAUUAAAAUCUGAGUAUCUUAUGGUAAAAGAUCUACUUGAUCUUUAGAAAAAUUUAAAGGAAAAAUAUGACCAUCAGAAAAUAGUGAUUCUUCUAAAAGCUCAUUAUGACUAGAUACACUUAUGAUUCUAGGAUUUUAAAACUGUCAGUAUAAUUCAUCGAUAUUUAGAAUCGUUUACAAUUGAAAUUGUGUGGAGAAAAUAUUGCUGAUGAGAAUAUGUUAGAGAAAAUAUUCUUUACUUUUCAUGUCACAAAUGUGCUCCUGCAAUAGCAAUAUCAUAAAAAGGGUUUUACGAAAUACUCUAAAUUGAUUACAUGUCAUCUUGUAGCUGAACAAAAUAAUAAGCUAUUAAUGAAAAAUUAUGAAGCCCGCCUAAUUGAUUUUGCUCUAUUCCCUCAAGUGAAUGUGACAAUAUUUAAUAAUUUUGGGCAUGGGCGAGGUCAUAGCCGUGGUCGUGGAUGCGAUCAAGGUUGCAAUAAAUAUCGUAAUCAUGGUCGCUAUAGUAAUAAUUUUUUCAAUUAUAAAAAUAUUUCUUACCAUCAAAAGUGGCAGAAUAGUGAAGAGAAAAAAAAAAUAAUAAAAAUGGAUAGAAAAAAAUGGAAUACAAAAAGUUUAUGUUAUCGUUGUGGCAUGAAAAGCCAUUGAGCACGUAUCUAUCGUGCAUCGAAAUAUCUUGUUGAACUUUAUCAAGAAUCACCGAAAGAUACGGGAAAAAAAUAUAGAGACAAAUUUUGCGCAUCAAGAUGAUUUCGGCCAUGGCCAUGUUGAUAUAACACAUUUGGAUGUUGAAACACAUGGCCAUGUUUUCUUCUAGAUUGUACUAUACGAAUAUUAGUAUGAUUAAAACACAUGCUACAGUAAACCAGAUGUUUGCUGAUCAAAUAAUUUUAUUGUUUGGCAUGAUCAGUUGGGCUAUCUCGGAUCAAUAAUGACGCAAAAAAUCAUUGAGAAUUCACAUGGACAUCCACUAAAGAAUCAGAAGAUUCUUCAAUCUAAUAAAUUCUCAUGUGCUAUUUGUUCUCAAGGCAAAUUAAUUAUUAGACCAUCACCGGCUAAAGUUGGGAUUGAAUCCCCCGCAUAUCUGGAAUAUAUUCAAGGGGAAAUAUGUGGACCCAUAAAUCCAUCAUGCGGACCAUUUAGAUAUAUUAGGAUUUUAAUCGAUGCAUCGACAAGAUGGACACAUGUGUGUUUAUUAUCAACUUGCAACUUGGCGUUUACGAGAUUGCUUGCACAAAUAAUUUGAUUACGAGCACAUUUUCCAAAUUAUGCAAUUAAAACAAUUCGUCUUGACAAUGCUGGUGAAUUUACAUCUCAAACUUUUAAUGAUUAUUGUAUGUCACAAUUGGAAUAACCAUUGAACAGCCUGUUGCACAUGUUCAUAUACAAAACGGUUUAGCUGAAUCAUUCAUUAAACGCCUUCAGUUAAUUGCUAGACCAUUACUUAUGAGAACUAAACUCUCCAUUUCUAUUUGAAGACAUGCUAUUUUACAUGCAGCAGCACUUGUACGCAUCAAGCCAACAAGUUAUUAUAAGUUCUCCCCUUUACAAUUGAUUUUUGGUCAGAAAUCAAAUAUUUCCCAUCUAAAAAUUUUUGGAUAUACGGUAUAUGUUCCAAUUGCUCCACCACAAUGCACUAAGAUGGGUCCUCAAAAGAGGCUGAGAAUAUAUGUUGGAUAUGAAUUUUCAUCUAUAAUUAAAUAUCUAGAGCCAUUGACAGGAGAUUUAUUUAUAUGCAGAUUGUCAUUUUGAUGAAUCAAUUUUCUCAGCAUUAGGGGGAGAGAAUAGGCAGCUGAAAAAAAAUUAUGUGGAGUGCAUUAUCAUUAUCUCGUUUUGAUCCCCGCAUAAAGCCAUGUGAACAAGAAGUUUAAAAGAUAAUUUAUUUACAAAAUAUAGCAAAUCAAUUGUCAAACGUAUUUACUAACCCAAAGAGAGUAACUAAAUCAUAUAUAUAUAUAUAUAUAUAUAUAUAUAUAUAUAUAUAUAUAUAUAUAUAUAUAUAUAUAUAUAUAUAUAUAUAUAUAUAUAUAUNNNNNNNNNNNNNNNNNNNNUAUAUAUAUAUAUAUAUAUAUAUAUAUAUAUAUAUAUAUAUAUAUAUACAUACCAGCUGCGAAUGCUUCAAUUAGAAUUAGGACAAUCUACUAGUGCUUAUGAGUCUAAGGCAUGCCUGAAGCAUGGUAGACCAAUCAAUUAUAAAGAUAAAAAUGUUCAAAAAAGAAAAAGAGUAAAUAAUCAAGAUGAUCGGAUUGAAAAGGUAGUAACUCCUGAAGAGACUCUAGACCAAACUAAUUAUAAAAUUUUAGAAGAAAUUCAGAUACCUGAAAUUAGUGAAAAUACAGAGAUCUCAAUAAAUUAUGUCACGAUAGGAAAACGAUGGAACUAAAAUAAAAUAAACAUCGACGAUAUUUUUGCAUAUAAUGUAGUGCUUAAUGUUAUAGAAAAUAAUGAAGAUCUUGAACCUAAAUCUAUCAAAGAAUGUAGGCAUAGAAAUAAUUCGCCGAAAUGGAAAGAUGCAAUCGAGAUGGAAUUAAAUUCACUUGCAAAACAUAAAGUUUUUGAACCUGUAGUCUGUACGCCAGAUGGUAUAAAGUCAGUGGGAUACAAAUGGGUAUUUGUGCAAAAAUGGAAUGAAAAAAAUGAAAUCAUGAGAUAGAAAGCAUGACUUAUUACACAAGGAUUUUCGCAAAGACCUGGCAUUGAUUAUGAAGAGACAUAUUCUUUCAUAGUGGAUGCAAUUAUAUUUCGAUAUCUAAUUAGUCUGACAAUACAUGAAAAACUUGAUAUGCAUCUAAUGGAUGUAGUUACAACCUAUUUAUAAGGCUCACUUGAUAAUGACGUCUAUAUGAAAAUCUCUGAAGGGUUUAAGUUGCCUGAAGCACAUAAUUUAAAUUCUCAAGAAAUUUAUUCAAUUAGAUUAUAUAAAUUUUUAUAUAGAUUAAAGCAAUUUGUAUUAGAAUUUUGUGUCGGGACAUGCAUAUAUGUUUCAAAAAUUUUUUUCUAAACAACGCAGCAGAAUAGAAGAUUAUAAUACUUUUUAAUCUACAUCAUGCAUGCAUAAAACAUAGAACACUAGGAUCUACUUCAAAUGUUGAAAUUGAAUACAUACUAAAUUUUAUGCUGAAAUUGAAUAUAUCAUCGGAUCAUAACCUAUUUUGUAAAUCCUUUCUUCAAAUUUGGAUCUAGAAAAGAGUAGGUUCUUCCUUAGCCACACAAGUAUCCGGUCUUUACAGGUAUCCAUUCAUGAUCAGCCUGAAACAGUCUUCUUUGGUAUUGAUUUUUUUCUUUAAGAAAAAUCAGUCUGCGAAUCUGAAUAAAACUUGGAUCACGAUCAACUCUUUGAUCCUAUCCUUGAUCUUCUUCUUCUCUUUUUCUCUUGCUUUUCUUCCCUUGAUUAAGGUCUGAAAACCAGCAAGCAAAGGGGUGCCCAAAUACCUUUUAGGUGUGGAGAAGUGGGACACCCAAACUCCUUGGGCGUUGGAUCUUCAAGGGAGAAGAGAGGGAGAAGAGAGAGGGGCGUGGGGACCUUCUAAGGGAGACUUGGGGUGCUAAAAUUCUGUGCUUAGGAGCCUUAGGGAAGGCCCCUAAGAUUUUAAAUCAUAUUCAAAAUGAAACAAUCACUUAAUACAAGUCUUACUUGCAUUAGAAAUUCUUAUUCCUUUAGUUAUUUGAUCUCCCUUAGGCAAUCUUUUUGGUGCCAAUUAUUUAAACCCUUGCACCCACAAAUACACAUGCCACAUGGGGCCUAGGGGAUGCCUCAUACUAGUCCCACACGUUCUUUAAUGGGUGGGCAUGCCUAACUUGAUCAAAUCAAGUGGCGUCCAAUCAAAACUAUUAAGAAAAUUGAUUAAGGAUUUGAAUCCUUAAUUCAUUUGAUCCAAAAUACUAGGCACCCAACAAUUGGAGUCCAAUGAAUCUAAUUCAUUUAGAUUAUUAGUAGGUAAUUAAACUUGAAUUAAUCUUAUCAAAUAAAAAAUUCAAAUGCAAAAAAAAAAAUUGGGUUCAACCAUGUACUAGUAAGGUUACCCUAAACUCAAUAGGAUUUCUCUAAAUCCAAUUGAGACUUCAUAAGUUCAAUUGCUUAUUCCAUAUCUAAUCUCUUUGUUGUGNNNNNNNNNNNNNNNNNNNNGGUCCAAAAAGUUCAACUCUAACUCAUCAUAGAUUAUCGAUUAUAAACAACCCUAGUGAGCUCUCACAAUCUAUCAGUGACACCUAGCAGUAUGUAGUGGUAAUUCAGUAGAACUGAAAAAGAACCUCAAGGUGUAGUUCAUAUGUGAUUCAGUCCCUCUAUCAUGAGUUUUGACUAGAUGGCAGGUCAUGAAUAAAUCGUCAAACCUCAUCAUCAGUCAGAUAAUAGAUUCGAUCAGCUCAAAUCCAAUUACGAUCCUCAUAAAAACUCUUUUCUAUCAAUCACACUGCUAUGACCAUGAACUUUCAGACUUAGCUUCUCAAAUCCCAUAGGACUACUCCUCUCUAUCAAGAUCAAUAGAUUUCAUCUAGAUACGUAUCUUACUUCUAUAGUGGAUCAACUAUAGUUAAUGUUCACUACAAAGACUCAUUGAGACCAUGUCUAUGUGUCGGUCAAACUCCAGCUGUCUCACUACGAGCAGUCGUAGCAUCGUAGGUCAAAAGAUCAUUUACACAACUACAGCAUCGCGACAAUCACUAACGAUCGAGUAGAAAUCUAAGUGAUCUCUCAUAUAAUCAUGCUCAGUACUAGUUGUUCUCUAAUAACUAUCCAUAUUCGUCGCUCAAUAUGUCUACACUAUAAAUCAGAGACUCAUCCAUCUCGAAGGAAGUGAUCUAUACACCGAUCUAUCUGGAUCAAUCACCAUUCUUAUGAUGAUACUAUAAUCAGAAGUAUUUAGAAAUUAUAUACAUGUCUCUAGUUCUCAACACCUUGAGAAUAUGUAUCGAAAUAUUAAUUUCAUGGACGAUUCAAAGACACAUCAUCCUUGAAUGAAAAUAAACUUGUUCUUUUAUUGAUCAAAUCAAUGAAUUAAGUAUAAAAUUAUGCUCUAAAUUUAUUACAAUGCGUCAGCCAUAUUAACUUCUAGGACAUACAUCUAACAAUCUCCCACUUGGACUAAAGUCAAGUGGCCACUAAUCUAAGUCUCAUCUUCUCAAAGUGGACUUCCAUCUUUAGCUGGCUCAAUUACUUUGUCAGCAAAUCUACCACGUUGUUCAUGGAGUCUACUCUUUGUACCUCGACAUAUUUUUUUUGAGGAGUCACAUAUGAUAUGGUAUCACCGCUCGAUGUGUUUUGAUUUUUGAUGAGACCUGGACUCCUUAGCAAAGGCUAUGAUGUCGUUGUCUUUAUAGUACAUUGUCAUAACAUCUAAUGGUAUGACGUUCAGUUCUGCAACUAACAUUAAAAUCAGAUUUCAUCCUAUACAUCUAUUGCGUACUCAACUUCCAUUGAUCAGUUGUUUAGAACCUUUCCAACAUACCAAACCAACAUUGCAUAAGAAUACACCAUGAUGUAGAUAUUUUAUCAUCAGCAUCUGUGUAUCCUCCCACUCCUAACUCUGUCUAUUCUCUAAAGAUCAGGAAUAGAUCCUUAGUACUUCUUAAGUACUUAAGAAUAUUUUUUACAGUUAUCUAGUGCUCCUCGUCUGGAUUUGACUGAUAUCUGCUUGUGACACUCACAGCAAAGACAAUAUUAGGUCGAGUAUACAGCAUGGCAUACAUGAGGCUCUCUAUGACUGAGAUAUAAGAAAUCCUACUCAUACGCUAAACUUCUUCAGAUGUGAUCGGACACAUCAUCUUGAAAAGAUAAAUACCAUGCCUAAGAGGUAAAAGUCUUCUUUUAGAAUUUUUCAUACUAAACCUCUUUAGCAUUUUCUCUAUAUACAGCUUUUGUGACAGAUCUAGCAUCUUCUUAGAUCUAUCUCUAUAGACCUUUAUUCUAAAAAUAUAGGAUACUUCCUCUAGGUCUUUCAUGAAGAAUUUCUUGGACAAUCAUCUUUUGAAUAUGGUCAGCAUGGGAACAUCAUUUUCAAUGAGGAGAAUAUCAUUACGUACAAUACGAGAAAUAUUAUUGUGCUCCCACUGACCUUUUCAUAUACACAAGGUUCCUCUUCGUUCUUGAUAAAAUCAAAUGAUUUGAUUGCAUCAUCAAAAUGAAGAUUCUAACUUCGAGAAGCUUGCUUUAAUCCGUAUAUGGAUCUUUAUAGCUUACAGACUCUGUGAUCACCAUCAUCAGAUGUGAAACCCAAAGGUUGCUCCACAUAGAUAUCUUCCUCAAGAUAUCCAUUCAGAAAAACAGUUUUCACAUCCAUCUGUUAGAUUUCAUAAUUAUAAUAAGCUGUGCGGAUGAAUGACUACGGACGAGAAAGUUUUUUGAUAGUCAAUGCCCUCGCACUGACUAUAAUCUUUUACUACGAGCCUAGCUUUAUAGGUCUCUAUCUUACCAUUGGCACCUAUUUUUUUUUAUAGAUCUAUUUACACCCAAUGGAUACUAUACCAUUAGGUGGAUCCAUUAAGAUCCAUAUUUGAUUCGAGUGUAUCGAGUUAAUCUCUGAUUUUAUUGUAUGUAACUAUUUUUCAAAAUUGAUGUCAGACAUCACCUCAUCAAAGAUAUUGGGAUCAUCACCAUGAUCCUUCUCUCUCAUAUGAAAUAUUUUCUUAACUUCCUUCGUAGGUAUACCCAUGCACCUUUCAGAAGGUCGGAAGAUCCUGCUAGAUCUAUAAGGUGGAGGUAGAACAUUAACUACUAACUCAUGAAUAAUAAAUUCCUGAGGAUCCAUAACUUUUUGCUCUUUAGAGACCUUCUCUUCGAGCUCAACUAACCUCCCACUGCCACCAUCCUGCAUAAAUUAUUUUUUUAAGAAAAUGAUAUUUCGACUCACAAUCAUAUUGUUAUCUUUUGAAAAGUAGUAGUAUCACAUUGAUUCUUUUGGAUAUCUUAUAAAAUGAGCUAUUACAGAUCUAUCCUUUAAUUUAUUAGCCAUCUAUCUCUUGACAUGGCCGAACAUCCCUAAGUCUUUAGAUAACCCAGACUUGGCUUCUUCCCAUAUCAUAUCUUAUAUGGUAUGGUAGGAACAGAUUUUGAUGGAAUCCUAUUCAAUAGGUGAAUUACAGUUAUUAAGGUACAUCUCCAAAGAUAUAAAGAUAAAUCAGUGAAGCUCAUCAUGAACCUGACCAUAUCUAAUAGGAUCCUAUUCCUUCUUUCGGAUACCUCGUUGAACUGAGGUAUUUCGAGAGAAGUCUAUUGAGAGACUAUACCGUUGUCUUUAAGAUAUUUCAAAAAUUUUUUACUAGGGUAUUUACUUUCUCGAUCAGAUCGAAAAAUCUUAAUGGGUUUGCCUAUUUAUUUUUCUACUUCAUUUUUGAAUUUCUUGAACCUUUCAAAGGCUUCAAACUUAUGUUUUAUCAGAUACAUAUAUCCGUUUCGAGAUAAAUCAUCGAUAAAGAUGAUGAAGUAACUAUAACCAUCCCUGAUCUGUAUAUCAAAUGACCCACACACAUCGGUGUGUACCAGGACAAGUAACUCGGUGGUCCUUUCUUUAUGUCCUACAAAGGAUAACUUGAUCAUUUUUUCUCGAAGGUAGAUUCACAAGCUGGAUAUGAUUCUGGAUCAAGAGAGCCAAGUAUUUCAUCUUUUUUCAAUUUGCUUAUCCUAUCCUCUCUAAUAUGGCCUAGUCUAUGAUGUCACAAAUACUUCUGAUUAAUUUCAUCUUUGGAUCUCUUUUGACCUACGGUACUCAUUAUUUCUCAUUCAAAUUCACAUUCGCAUCAACAUGCAAGUUAUAUAGACUGUCAAUUAAAAGAUCACGUACAACUAAUUUAUUUUAUAAAUAAAUAAAAUAAAAAUUUUUAUUAAAAUUAAAUUUAAAAUCAUUCUGUGCUAGCACAGACACGAAAAUCAAAUUUCAAAUAGCUAUAAAAAUAAAAUAACAGUCUUUUAAAUCUAAUUUAAAUUUUAACGGUAAUUGAAGAAGAUAAAUAUCAAUGAUUUUUACAGUAAUUUUUAUUUCAUUGCCGACUCAAAGGAUCAUGUCACCUUUCCUCAACCUUUUACUUGCUAUUGAUCCUGCAUUGAGGUACAUAUAUGAGCACUCGAACUAGAGUCUAAUACCUAACUAGAAGUAGAAGAAUCUGUAAGGUUAGAUUCAAUUAUGAGCAUAUCUUCUAAAGAUUUAUCAUCCUUCUUAAUCUUUAGGCUCUCCAGAUAAAGUAGACAGUUCCUCCUCUAGUGGCCGUCAUUAUCAUAGUAGAAACACUUUUCCUUUACUUCAGUCUUCUUUGGAACGUCCUUCUUUAGCUUGAUCUCUUUCUUCUGCUUCUUAUCAGAAUUAUUCUUCUUCUUCCAAUCAGAUUUUUUUUUGAUCGAAGAAAUCUGUUCCACAGCGAGAACAGUGCCCCUUGAACUCUUCAAGGUUCCUUCCGUAGUGAUCAAUAUGUUGACCAGUUUAGGUAUAGUGCAAUCAAGUUUGUUUAAAUAAAAAUUUAUAAUAAAUUAACUAUAUAAACUAGUAAGGAAUUGAAGGAUCAAAUCCAUCUGUAAUUUCUUUUGUAUAUCAAACUCAAGCUUUUCAAGCUCCUCAAUAUCCUUGAUCACUGCCAUAUAGUGCUCAUGGACUGACUGUCUUUCAUGCAUCUUCAGAUUGAAGAGUCUCUUGGAUACUUUGAAAUGUGAUGUAUGACUCUGCUUAUCAUAUAACUCUUGUAGAUGAGUGAUCAUAGCCCUGACAGUGGGUAUAUGCUCAUGCUGGCUCUGUAACUCAUUUGUCAUGGAUGCCAGCACAUAGCACUUGAUCCGACUGUCUUCAUCCGUCUAUUUUUCAUAAGCAGUUCUUUACGAUGGAGUAGGAUGAUUUGAUAACACUAAGAGUUUUUGAUUGAGUAUAUGAUCUAAUUUUUUAGAAGUCAGGACAAUCCUGAGAUUUCUUAGCCAGUCUUUAUAGUUUGUUUUGGUCAAACGAUUAAAUUCAAGGAUAUAGGAUAGAGGAUUUGAGGCUGACAUUAUUUAACUGUGAGAGUAUAGAUUUAAAUUAGACUUUUAUAUUUUAAAUUUAUAUUUAUUCUAAAAAUUUUAAGAUGUAAAUAAUGACUCUCACUAAUUUUUUGGAUCUCUUCACUCUUCAGGUGGAAAAUGAAAAUCCUGACACAAUAAUUGGAUUUCUAAUUGGUGUUGCAGUCCCACCGAUGCUAUGUACCUCACCUAACAGUUAUUGAUAACAUGCAUAUCGAUGCGUGGACAACUCUUUGUCCAGAUGCUUGUUUAAGCAUGUUACAGUGACUUGGUCUCUAAGUCAUGUGGGCUCACCUAACCGUUAUUGACCAUACUUCUUAGUUAAACCUGACCCACAGUUCACAAGCAGGUGCAAGACCGUCAUUGAGUCCCUCACCUAACAGUUAUUGGGUCCAACCCUAUCCUUAUCCUGGAGCAACUCUUUGCUAAUAGACUGGUUGUGUGUUCCCGAUAUAACUGAACUACUGUGAUCAGUUGAGAACAAUCAACACCAGUAGCAUGCCUGUACAUCUACAACAGUGAAAGAUCUAUAAACUUAAUAUUUAUGGGAAGAUUUAGGUUUAGGUCUAAUUUAAUUAGUUAUCAUAUGAUCAAUUUAAUUGGCAUGAACUAAACCAAACCGUCAAGCAACCUUAUUCAGAACUCAAUCUUCCAAAUUGAUCAGAUAAGAGGAGUCGGUGGGGCCUCUCGAUUACUUGCUUUAGACACUAAUAGGUCAAUUGAUCUAAAUAGGUUAGCUUAAGCAAAUCAGACUCAAGCCAUCGAGCCAAAUUAGGUCCUUAGGUUAAUCGAUUCUACACAUGGGACUCAAUCGAUUUGAUCAACAAUAAUUGCUGAAUCUUAUAACUUAAUUGAUCUAAUCUUAAUCAACACUUGACUCAGUUUGAUCAAUUACUUAAUCGAAUUAGACUAUUAUGUUCAAAUCAAAAAUUCUAGAUGCAAUCUGAUUGCAUGAUCUAAUUUUUAAUUUUUUUUGAUCAAAAUCUUCAUGCAUAAAUACAAAUCUCAUAUUCUAAAAUUAAAUUUUAGUUCUAAAUUCUUUACAUGAAAGAUCAAUUUUAAAUCAUAAAACUAAUUUUUAGAUUUAAUAUACAAGCAUAUAUCUCAUAUACGUAUGUAAAAUUUAGAUCUAAAUAAAAAUUUAAAUCUUAACAUGAUGUCAUAUAUCUCAUAUAAAAUCAUGAAUAAUUUUAAAAAUAAUUUUCAGACCUAAAUAUGUAUUCAUAUGUCUCAUAUAUGAAUCAUAAAUCAGAUCAAAUUAAGUUUUAGAUUUAUGCAUGCAUCUACAUAUCACAUAAAUAUGAACUAGAAACUGUUCUAGAAUAAAAUUCAGAUCUAUGUAUGUUUUCACAUAUCAACUAUAUGAUCUAAAAAAAUAAAUCUAAAAUAAAUUUUAGAUUCAAAGCAAUCAUCUAUAUAUUUCAUGUAUCAAGAAAAAUUAGAUUUUGAAAUUCUUUUCAAAAUAUGUAUGUCAAUUUCAUGCAUAUGAAACAUAUGGUUCUGAUACCAUCGUUGGAAUUUUGUAUCGCGGCAUGUAUGUAUAUUUUAAUUUUUUUAAAUAAUACAACAGAAUAGAAGAUUUAAAUACUUUUUAAUCUACAUUAUGUAUACAUAAAUAUAGAAUACUAGGAUCUACUUCAUAUGCUGAAAUUGAACACAUGCUAAAUUUUAUGCUAAAAUUGAAUAUGUGAUCGGAUCACAUAUCUAUUUCGCAAAUCUUUUUUUCAAAUCUGGAUCUAGAAGAGAGUAGGUUCUCACUUAGUCAUAUAAGUAUCUGAUCUCUAUGAGUAUUCACUCAGAAUCAGCUUGAAGCAGUCCUUUUUGGUAUUGAUUUUCUUCUCUAAAAAAAAUCAGCCUGCACAUCUAAACGAAGUUUGGAUCGCGAUCAACUCUUUGAUCCUAUCCUUGAUCUUUUUCUUCUCUUCUUCUCUUGCUUUUUUUUUCUUAAUUAUGAAAAAAUCAAAACUUGGAAACUAGUAAGCAAAGGGGCACCCAAAUACCUUUUGGGCAUGGAGAAGUGGGACGUCCAAACUCCUUGGGUGUUGGAUCUUCAAGGGAGAAGAGAGGGAGAAGAGAGGGGGGCAUGGGGACCUUCUAAGAGACUCCUGGGGUGCUAGAAUUCAGUGCUUAGGAGCCUUCGAGAAGGCUCCUUUAAAUAGACAUAAGGUUUAAAAUCCUAUUCAAAAUAAAACAACCACUGAAUAUAAGUCCUACUUGCAUUAGAAAUCUUUAUUCCUUUAGUUAUUUGACCCCCUUUAGGAGAUUCUUUUGGUGCCAACUAUUGGAGCUCUUGCACCCACAAAUACACACGCCACAUGGGGCCUAGGGGACGUCCCAUGCUGGUCCCACAUGCCCUCUAAUGGGUGGGCAUGCCCAACUUGAUCAAAUCAAGUGGUGCCCAAUCAAAACAAUCAAGAAAAUUGAUUAAGGAUUUGAACCCUUAAUUCAUUUGAUCCAAAAUCCUAAGCACCCAACAAUUAGAGCCCAAUGAAUCUAAUUCAUUUAGAUUAUUAGCAGAUAAUUAAACUUGAAUUAAUCUUAUCAAAUAAAAAAUUCAAACGUAAAGAGAAAAUUGGAUUCAACCACGUGCCAGCAAGAUUACCAUGAACCCAAUAAGAUUUCUUUAAAUCCAAUUGAGAUUUCAUAAGCCCAAUUGCUUAUUCCAGAUUUAAUCCUUUUGUUGUGUGAUCUCAUAAGUUUAAUUCUAUCUGGUAGUAAGAUAUAUACAAUGAUCUUUAUCAUAACAUUAUUGAAACUCUUUUCAAUAGAUCGAAAUAGUUCUACUAACUCAUCAUGGAUUAUCGAUCCUGAACAAUCUUAGUGAGCUCUCACAAUCCACCAGUGAUAUCUAGCAGUAUGUAGUGACAACCCAGUAGAAUCAAAAAAAAAUACUCAAGGUGUAGUUCACAUAUGAUUCAAUCUCUCUAUCGUGAGUCCCAACUAGAUGGCAGGUCAUAGAUAAAUCGUCAAAUCUCAUCAUCAGUCAUAUGAUGAUUCGAUCAGCUCAAAUCCAAUGCGAUUCUCAUGAAAAUUUUUUUCAUCAAUCACACUGCUAUGGCCACAGACUUUCGAAUUUAGCCUCUCAAAUUUUAUAGGACUACUCCUCUCUAUCAAGAUCGAUAGAUUUUAUCUAGAUACGUAUGCUACUCCUACAGUGGAUCAACUGUCGCCCACAUCCACUAUAAGGACUCAUUGAGAUCAUAUUGAUUGCAGCAGCCUCACUNNNNNNNNNNNNNNNNNNNNNNNNNNNNNNNNNNNNNNNNNNNNNNNNNNNNNNNNNNNNNNNNNNNNNNNNNNNNNNNNNNNNNNNNNNNNNNNNNNNNNNNNNNNNNNNNNNNNNNNNNNNNNNNNNNNNNNNNNNNNNNNNNNNNNNNNNNNNNNNNNNNNNNNNNNNNNNNNNNNNNNNNNNNNNNNNNNNNNNNNNNNNNNNNNNNNNNNNNNNNNNNNNNNNNNNNNNNNNNNNNNNNNNNNNNNNNNNNNNNNNNNNNNNNNNNNNNNNNNNNNNNNNNNNNNNNNNNNNNNNNNNNNNNNNNNNNNNNNNNNNNNNNNNNNNNNNNNNNNNNNNNNNNNNNNNNNNNNNNNNNNNNNNNNNNNNNNNNNNNNNNNNNNNNNNNNNNNNNNNNNNNNNNNNNNNNNNNNNNNNNNNNNNNNNNNNNNNNNNNNNNNNNNNNNNNNNNNNNNNNNNNNNNNNNNNNNNNNNNNNNNNNNNNNNNNNNNNNNNNNNNNNNNNNNNNNNNNNNNNNNNNNNNNNNNNNNNNNNNNNNNNNNNNNNNNNNNNNNNNNNNNNNNNNNNNNNNNNNNNNNNNNNNNNNNNNNNNNNNNNNNNNNNNNNNNNNNNNNNNNNNNNNNNNNNNNNNNNNNNNNNNNNNNNNNNNNNNNNNNNNNNNNNNNNNNNNNNNNNNNNNNNNNNNNNNNNNNNNNNNNNNNNNNNNNNNNNNNNNNNNNNNNNNNNNNNNNNNNNNNNNNNNNNNNNNNNNNNNNNNNNNNNNNNNNNNNNNNNNNNNNNNNNNNNNNNNNNNNNNNNNNNNNNNNNNNNNNNNNNNNNNNNNNNNNNNNNNNNNNNNNNNNNNNNNNNNNNNNNNNNNNNNNNNNNNNNNNNNNNNNNNNNNNNNNNNNNNNNNNNNNNNNNNNNNNNNNNNNNNNNNNNNNNNNNNNNNNNNNNNNNNNNNNNNNNNNNNNNNNNNNNNNNNNNNNNNNNNNNNNNNNNNNNNNNNNNNNNNNNNNNNNNNNNNNNNNNNNNNNNNNNNNNNNNNNNNNNNNNNNNNNNNNNNNNNNNNNNNNNNNNNNNNNNNNNNNNNNNNNNNNNNNNNNNNNNNNNNNNNNNNNNNNNNNNNNNNNNNNNNNNNNNNNNNNNNNNNNNNNNNNNNNNNNNNNNNNCAUAUGUGGUAUAAUCAUCUUAGAGAAUAUUUGUUGAAAGAAGAUGAUGAAAAUGAUCCUAUCAGUCCAUGUAUUUUUAUAAAGAGAUAUGGAUCUGAGUUUGUCAUAAUUAUAAUAUAUGUUGAUGACUUGAACAUUAUUGAAACACCUGAAUAAUUUUCAAAGGUGAUAAAUUAUUUUAAAAAAAAAUUGAGAUGAAAGAUCUUGAAAAAAUCAAGCUUUGUCUCGGCAAGAUAUUUAUCUGAUCCAUAUAAAGCUCGAUCUCAGAUAGGCUAUUUAUUCACUUGUGGUGGUACAGUUAUUUUCUAGUGUUCUACAAAACAGACUAUAGCUGCUGCUUCUUCAAAUCAUGCGAAAAUUUUAGCAAGCCAUGAGGCAAGUCGGAAAUGUGUUUGGUUAAAGUCCAUGAACCAAUAUAUUCAAGAGAAGUGUGGUCUAUCUUCCAAAAGAAAAAUUCCAACAACAUUGUGUGAAGAUAAUGUAGCAUGCAUAGCUUAAUUAGAAGAAAAGUAUAUUAAAGGAGAUAGAACGAAACAUAUUUCACCAAAAUUCUUUUUCACUUAUGACCUUCAAAACAAUGGUUAUAUUGAUGUUCAAUAAAUCCAUUCAAGUGAUAAUCUAACAGAUUUGUUCACCAAGGCACUUCUUACUACAACAUUUGAAAAAUUGGUACACAACAUUGGAUUGCAUCGAUUCAGAGAUCUCAAGUGAUGUCAUCAUGAGGGAGAGUAAAUACGCACCGCACUCUUUUUUGUUCACCAAGGUUUUGUCCUACUGGAUUUUCUAGUAGGGUUUUUAAUGAGGUAGUAUUUCAUCGCAUAUUCUAUAAAAAAAUAAUGUACUCUUUUUUCUUCACUAGGAUAUUUAUUUUUUCUCAUGGGUUUUUUUUUCCUAGUAUGAUUUUAAUGAGACAUAUUCUUCAUAAUGGACAUCCAAGGGGGAGUGUUAUGAAUAUUAUGUGUGUGGAUGUCCUUUCGUAUUCUUCAACUCCCAAAACUCUUCUCAUUCCAUAACACCCAAUGUAUUUAAUUCCCCUUUUUAUUUUUUUAAUUUAUUGUACAUGCAAUUACUUAUGAACAUGAGCCUAUAAACGAGGCUAUGUAGUUUGUAAUGUAUACACUUGAAAAUAAAAUAAAAGAACUUCUCCAUUUCUCUCAUCCCCUUUAUCUCUAAUUCCAAUUUGCUCUUUUAGUUAUGUUUUAUAACAAUAGACUCAUUAUCUAUGCUUAGACCUGUCGAUAGGACAAAAUGUGCUGGAUUGGACCAUAUCCCUAUCCGAACCUGAUCCGAAAUAUUUUUUAAUUUUUUCAAACCAGACUUAGGUCCAAAAAUAUUUUAAAAUUUAAGAUCCGAGCUCAAUUUGAACCCAAUCAGAGUGACCCAAGCACGAGUCUGAGCCCAAGGUCUGACCUGAACCCCCUCCCUCUCUCUCUAUUUCUCUCUCCUUCUUCUCUCUCUCUCAACUUCCAUAGCUCCCUCUCUCUUUCAGGUCUCAACCCUAUUACCAUCCACGAGAUCCAUGGAGUUCGUGAUGACUUUGCCACCUCCCAUAUCGUGUAUUCCUUCCCGAUCAUCAACCCUCUCCUCCUCUUCUCUGUCUCCUCCAUCAUGGCAGGGUAUGCAGAUCGGGACCACUGCCCAAGCAACAAGGAGGAUGAGGAUGAUCACGAAGACAUAGGACAUGGCAGCGCCAUGGUCACCGAUGAGGUCAUAGAUGAGGAGGUAGACCGCAAUGACCACCACCAUCAUGUUUAUCGCAUGGAAGUACUUGGUCUCGAUCUCAUCCUCCACCCUUGCCAUACCGACGAGGGACUUGCAGAGGAAAAAUAUGGUGGUGGUUAAGAGUGCAAUCAAGCCGAGUUGAGUUGAAUAACUAGAAGCUCAAGCUCGACUCAACUCUACUCGGACUCGAAACUUGGCUCAAGUUUGACUGAGCCUUAAUAUUCUAAAGUUGAGCUCAGCUCAAUGAAAAAUAGAUAAAGCUCGAGAUCUGCUCGACUCGACUCAAUUCGAAUAUGAACUGAGUCAUACUCGAGCUCGAAAUUGAGUCUUAUCUUGUUAAUAAUAUAUAUAAUAAUAUAUAUUAUAGAUAAAAAUAAUAUUAUUAAAUAUAUAUAAAAAUUUGAGUAGGCUCGCGAGCUUUUCAAUCGAGUAUCCUACUACUCGAGCUCGACUCGAAAAGCUAUUCGAGCAACUCGAGCUCAAUAAUAAUCGAGUCGAGUCAAGAUUGAACUCGAAUCGAGCUCGAGUAGCUGACGAGCAGCUCGACUUGUUUGCACCUCUAGUGGCGGUGCAGAUAACUAUGGAGAUAAUGAUGAGCAUGAGAAGGAAGGUGAUCGCAUCGUCAUCGAAGAGGGUGGAUAAGAGAUCGAUGAAGAUGGCGGUGCUCAGAACCACGUAGCCUUCCAAGAUCCUUAACAUCGACAACUAUUGACUGAUGAGUGGCGAUGAGGACUUUGGAGUGGUUGACUGGCAUCCGACAGUGGAGGUGGAGAGGAGAACUUAACCCUAAGCGGUGGUCGGCGAGGCUUUGCCCCAAUUUGAGAAAACAAAGAAGAAAAAGCGAUGGUCUGAUUAAGAAAUGGGAAGAGUUAGAAGAGCAUUUUAUUAAAGAGUCUAAAGUCCCCAAGCCUAACUUAAGUGGCUAAGCUUAGUCAUCUUUUAUAUAAUAAAAGAUUAGAUUUAGACCUUAGGCUUGGGCCUGAAUUUUGGGCUAAGAUCGAGCUUGCAGUCAGGCUCAAGUGGGACCAAUGAUAGGCCUGAGCCCGGCCUGAAAAUAAAAUGGACUCUAUAUCAAAACCUAACCUCAACUUGAUUUUGUUAAGAUCUAGUCUGAAGUCCAACUCACAAACGGGCCGGUUGGCUUGAAGCCCAUUGGGCCAGCCUGGGCCCAUUUUCUGUCAUACUUGUCGAUGGCUCGGACGAGCCAGUGAACACAAAGCAUUUUCGACAGGCCUAAGCUUGGAUUUUACGCCUUGUGGGUCAGGGGUGGGGCGGAUUGGGGCAUGUGAGCCCAUCUGUUAAAGUGGGCUCGAUUUGGUUCUGCUCAAUCCGAGCUUGAACCUUAUAUAAUACAUAAUGUAUAUUUAUGCGUUGGGGGUCUAAUUUUGCUGACCCAAGAAAAUAUUAAUAGCUUCCUUUCAUGCAGCGGUAUUGUUUACGAAGAAUGGUAAACACAAAUUCAUAGACCUUACUAGUCUCUUUUCAAAUAUUUAAUCUUUGUUCUUACCAAAAAAAAAGAAAAUCUUUGCAAGUAUUUUUUUAUAUUUUUAAACUGGAGAAAGGGUCCAAAAAGUCCGAAUCAAAAUAGUCAUGUGCUUGGUUUACUGGUGAUUGUUUGCUGAAAUAUUGGCAGGAUAAGAUUCAUGGAGCUUUGGAAUAUUGGUUGGAGAAGAUUCACAAAACUUUCGUCGAGUCUAGGAAAAAUCAAAAAAACUCGCAGCAUUUUGGAGUCAGCUAUUCUCGUUCUAAAGGACCAGAUCGGUCUAGCUUCUCCUUCUGUUGCAAAGUACCACCUGUUUUUUAUUCGUUCUUAGUUUCUCCCUUCUCUCUCUCCUUCGCAACCACCCCCCCCAACUCCCUCUUUGUUCAAUUCUUUAUUCAUUUCUUUUGUUCCUAUUGUUUGUUACUGUAUGUUUCUAAGUUGCUGCAUACUUCAUCCUUUCAGUGAAAGUGAUUAGACAGGCUUCAUUCUUUCUCAAAAAACAUAAAUUUACAAAAGAUAUGUUCAGUAUCUGAAAUUGAUAACAUCAUCUAAAUGUGAAACAUGAAUGUAAAAGGUAUCACAUACUAUACGGUAUAACUAGCAACAUAUAUGCAAAAUGUGUACAUGUGUAUAUACAAAUAAUUAAUUGGAUUGAGUUUUAGAUUUUUGAGUGGAUCUAGCUAAAUCCAAAGCCAUUUCAACACAAGAUUUUGGAUCUAAUUUUGGAACCCAACCCUAACCCAAUAACUUAUUGGUUUUUUUUUUCAUCUCCAAAUCCUAUGUUUUGGUCCACUUAGGAUUAGAUUAGCCCAUUAUCGGCCUCUAUUGACACUUUUAAUUACAAUUGAUUAGCCAUAAAAACAGAAAAUAAAUUUUGUGAAAACUAUAUCUUCCUUUGUUUCCAUAAAAACUGUUUUACAUAUAAUCAUGUUUUAACUUUUAAGGCAACCGAUUCCAGACAACUUGAGAGACCGGUAAUAUUGAAAAAUAAAAAAAAGUCAAGGAAUUUAAAUUAAUUUUAGAAAAAAACCAAAUGUCAAGCUUUUUUCUCUUAUUAUUGUAUGAAUUCUUUAACAGCAAGCAACCACAUGGCACUAUUAUUUUAUUAUUCUAUUUUUAUAUUAUUAUUUGAGUGGCCAAAAAUAAUUGUCAUAACAGCUAAUAUGUUUUUUGCCCUCAAAAUGUCCUCUACAACGCUGAGCUACACAAAUAACGCCUCUUAAUUCAUGGCCUUGAAAUGAGCCUUACCAUUAGAACAACCUCCUUCAAAUUUUGUUUCCCCCAAGUUUCCAGCUGAAAUAUUUCUGCCCCCUGGCGCACUCCAUCGCUUCGGACAGGCCUGGUCAAAACCGCAACCAGGCAUCCGACACGUCCGAAGUUAACAGUGAGCGAAAGCGAGGGAAAGGAGGAGGCCAGCUCCACACACCACCACAACCACCCUCCAUCCUCUCCACAAGCAAUGGCUAUUUCUUAUAACCCCAAUGCUCUUAGAUCCAGCCUCCACGCUCUCCCUUCCAUCUCCUCCCUUCCCCUCCUCCCUUCCUCCAAAGAAAAAUUACUGUCUCAAAAAUGGCGAGGUCGCCGGAAAGCGUUGUCCGGUUCCUCGGCAUUGUAUGCCUUCUAUUCUCCCUAUCUGCGGCCGCUGCCCCGGCCCGCCGGCAUCACAAGGCCAACGCAUCAGGAGUGACCUACGAUGGCCGAUCUUUCAUGAUCAAUGGAAGGAGAGAGCUUUUCUUCUCCGGCUCCAUCCAUUACCCACGUAGCACUCCUGAGGUAGUCAUUGUUCCUAGCAUGGUUCAAUUGCUACGUGUUGCAUGCAUGGCUGCCAUUUUCGACGUGGUGAUGGAAUGUUUUUUGCUUGGUUGAUCAGAUGUGGCCGCAUCUCAUCCAGAAGGCGAAGCUCGGUGGGCUAAAUGUGAUCCAAACUUAUGUGUUCUGGAACAUCCAUGAACCUGUGCAAGGCCAAGUAAGAUUUGCAAGCGAGAUAUGUUUAAAUUUUUGUGUUGAUAGGCAAAGGCCGAAAAAGUUUUAGAUUUAACCGUUUUUAUCGUAAGUUGGUGAUUGGGUGUUGCAGUAUAAUUUCACGGGGAGGUAUGACUUGGUGAGAUUCAUAAAGCUGAUCCACAAGCACAAAAUGUAUGUGACCCUUAGACUUGGUCCCUUCAUUCAAGCAGAAUGGAAUUAUGGGUGGGUAUUUAUUAGAUUGUAGUUGCUUUUGGAAUCUAUUGAUCUUAUUAUGUGAUAAUAAGCUCCUUUGAUGCAUUUCAGAGGCUUCCCAUACUGGAUGAAAGAGGUCCCUGGUGUUGUCUUUCGAACAGACAAUGAACCCUUCAAGGUGAUGGACAUUUUAAGGGAACUAAUUAUACCUUUAGUAGAAAUGAUAAAGGAACUAGCUAAUUUAAAAUAAGCUUUUCAAACUAAUUAACUCAACCUUGUUUUGUUCCUAUCCAUUAUAUAUAGAACAAAAAUCUGAGAACUAACUUAAGCUCUGCCUUAUUGUUAAUGGUGAAAUACAUGAACUUGUUUGAAAAUGAUCACUGCCUAUGAUCUCUAACUACAUGUUUUUUUUUUUUAAUGUGCAGUACCAUAUGCAAAAUUUUGUAACAAAAAUAAUGGAAAUGAUGAAGAGUGAGAAGCUAUUUUUCCCUCAAGGAGGCCCCAUUAUCCUAGGACAGGUUCAGUUAACCUAAGGGUUGCAUUCCAUUAAAUUUCUUUAUUUUUCUUUUCUUUUUUCUGCAGGUGCUAUAUUAUAUCACUCUUGAUUCUUCUCUGAAGUAUUGUGUUGGCUUUGAGUGCAAUAGAUCGAGAAUGAAUACAACAUGGUGGAAGCAGCAUACAGAGAAGGUGGGCUCACAUAUGUUCAGUGGGCAGCCAAUUUGGCUCUUGGGUUCAAUGCUGGAAUACCAUGGGUGAUGUGCAAGCAAAAGGAUGCUCCCGGUCCAGUGGUAAGCCUCUUCAUCAAAUUCUCAUAUGAAUACGAAAGAAAUUCAACCUUAAUGGAUGCUCGCCAUAGGAACCAAAAUUAUGGAACCAUGAAAAUUGGAAGAGAGUUUGUGAUCCUAAACAAUACUGAGCACUUUCAGAUGAUUCUUUGUGUUACAUGUUCAUGGGAAUUGAUGAUAGCUACGCUGCUUCUGUAGAUCAAUGCAUGCAAUGGAAGGAACUGUGGAGAUACUUUCACAGGCCCCAACAGUCCAACCAAGCCUAGCGUCUGGACUGAGAACUGGACUGCUCAGUAAGUAUAUGAUGGUUGUUUUAAACUUUGUUAUACUUCUGACUGGUUACUAUUUUUUCCUCACAAAAAAAUGGAGGUAUCAUCCAGGACAGAAAUAUCAAGUAUCAUAUUUUUUAAAUGGACCAUAACCUUCUAAAUCUGCAUUUUCUCUCGGUUUAGGCAAGAAAGAACAAUUUCGCAUAACUCCAUAAAAAAAAUUGAACAGAAUAUUGCACCUGUGCUAGUGUGUUAAUUAUUGUUGAUAUCGGCAAUUAACAGUUUUAUGGUAUAAAACAUACAAUAUUAUGGGAAACAUGAAAGAUUUUAUAAAAUUCAAUGCAGUAAAUUUAUAUAUAAGGUAUUGAUCUGAUUUCGAGGCUCUAAAGUAAUGUAAUUCCUGUCUUUUUGUCUUUGCGAUUUACUGGUAUAAUAGUUGAUUAGAUUGUACUGAAACAGAACAUAUGGUGGUUGCAGGUACAGAGUAUUUGGUGAUCCACCAUCUCAAAGAUCGGCUGAGGACAUCGCAUACUCUGUUGCACGCUUCUUCUCAAAGAAUGGCACACUUGUAAACUACUACAUGGUAUGGAUUAUCUUCUAUAACUCUCAAACAAUAUUUAUGACGAGGAGAAAAGCAAAAUUAUCUUCUAAAAUAAUGUGCAAAUUGCUUCUACUCAGUACCAUGGAGGAACCAAUUUUGGAAGAGAAGGUGCAUCGUAUGUGAUGACUCGGUACUACGACGAAGCUCCUCUCGAUGAAUAUGGUUAGACAAGUGUAGCCUUGACCCUCAGUUGUUAUUUCCUUCACCAUAUGAGGUUUCUUCUUAAUUCUAAGCAUAUAUAAGUUAUAGUAUACCCAACUCUUUCUGAUGAGAUGUGUUCGCCCAGGUCUGCUUAAGGAGCCUAAGUAUGGACACCUGAGGGACCUACAUCAAGCAUUGAAAUUGAGCAGGAAAGGUUUGCUUUGGGGGGUUCCCUCAGUCCAACCCUUGGGUGAAUGGUAUGAGGUAAGAAUUAACAGCAGCAUUUGGAUUGAGCAAAACUCUUUAGUCAUUAGCAUGGAGUGGGAACUAAAUAUUUCAUGAGCAAAAAUCUUUAGUCAUGACCACUUGGAUUGAGCAAAAAUUCUCUAGUCAUUAGCAUUUGGAUCUUCAGAAUUUAACUAAUAUGGUGUAGUUGUGUGCCACAAUAUCAUCCCAAAUUGCAACCUAUGGUUUCCAUAAGAAAGAAAUAAAGGAGAAGGUUGUUGGUAUUCUCAUGUGGUUUUUAUAUGUGCAGGCGAGGUUGUACGAGUCCCCUGAGAGCAAUGUCUGUGUUGCUUUCUUAACCAACACCAACCCAAGAGUAGAUGGGACAGUGAACUUUAGAGGCACAGACUACUUCCUGCCUCACCGUUCGAUCAGUAUCCUUCCAGAUUGUAAGACCGUAGUCUUCAACACUCAGAUGGUAACCAGAACAUGCCAACUUUGAUUCUUUUUUCCCCUCUCUAUUUCUUCAAGAAAAGAACUAUCGGCAAACUAUCAAAGUGUAGGCCUAAAUAUAUGUAGUAAGUGCCAAUUAAUUGUUUAUACUUCAUCUCAACAUGUCAAGUAUGAGUUAUUUGAGGACUGAUGUAGUUUUGAUUCCAUCUUCUCCUUUAGAAUACUGCAAGUGAGAAGUAGUAACUUUUUUGGAUGUCAAACAGGUGAAUGCUCAACAUAAUGCAAGGACAUUCCGUACGGAGGACGUAACCCGCAAGAAUGACAAAUGGCAAAUGUUCCAAGAACGCAUACCAAAAUUCCUUAAGAAGGGUAUCGUUGCAUCAAGGCCCUUGGAUCUUUAUAACAUGACCAAAGACAUCACAGAUUAUAUGUGGUAUACUACCAGGUGAGAAAAUCUUUGUCAACACAAAAACAAGUUCAUUCCCUUGGAACAGAGGAAUUUAUUACUCUUCAGUUCCUCAUGUAUACUUCUUGUUUAUUUUACAAGAAAUUCUAUCCAAAUGAAAUCAUUACCUUGAGAGAGAUGAAUAGUUUGUAAGCCUUUAUAUGGAUCUUUAGAUAACUUUGUAAUUUGCAUAGUAUGUUUUCAAUUGAUUUCAUUGUCUUCACCCUACAGAUAACACACACUGUUUGUUGUUCUGCUGCUACUCUAAUGCAGGUUUAGAUUGGAGGAUGUGGAUUUGCCCAUGCGUCCUGACAUCCGCCCUGUUCUCUUAGUGUCAAGCCUUGGCCAUGCAAUGCAUGCCUUUGUCAAUGGCAUUUACAUAGGUAUCCUCCCUUUGUUCUUUUUUCUUUCUACUCUUACAUCUGGUUGUAGUGUACUCAUUUCAAGUCCAAUUCAAUCAUAGUCCUUGAUGCCAAAAAUAUUAUGAUAAUUGUGAUGCCAAAAGAUUUUAUUAAGGCCAUGGCCAUAUGAUGAAGCUUAUUUUGAGGCUCGCAUAUAUAAAACACCUUUCAGGAUCUGGCCACGGUGCGAAACUCGAGAAGAGUUUUGUCUUCCAGAAGCCCAUGGAUCUGAAACAAGGAGUAAACCACAUUUCCAUCUUGGGCAUGACAGUUGGAUUUCCGGUAAAUAUUUAGAAUGACUGAAUUUAGAGUAUAAAUCACGUUCUAUUUCUGCGACAAGAUUGAGAUUUCCAUGAUUAUUCUAUGCUAUCUUCAUGGACUGGCGUCUUCUGUUUCUUCCCUUGUGUAGGAUAAUGGAGCAUACUUGGAACACAGACUUGCAGGAGUUCAUACUGCUGCCAUCCAAGGUCUCAACACCGGGACUUUGGAUCUAUCGCCCAAUAAGUGGGGGCAUGAGGUACCAAUGCUCACCUUUGAUGCCUAUAUUCUUUCUGUUUUCUUAAAAUAUAUAGAUAUCAUAUAUAGAAACAAACAGAUGAUUAGCUACAUUUAAUUUCUUCUCUCUCUCUCUCUCUAAAACCAAAAAAAAAAAUAGGUAAUUAAGAAACUAAAGUUUAAGUUGUUAUCCAUGAUNNNNNNNNNNNNNNNNNNNNUCUCUCUCUCUCUCUCCAAAAAAAAAAAAAAAAAAUGGAAUUAGAAACAAAGUUUAAGUUGUUAUCCAUGAUCAGGUUGGAAUGAAAGGGGAGAAGUUAGGCAUCUACACUGAGGAGGGAUCCAAGAAGGUUAAGUGGACGGAGGCUAAGAGUGGCCAGCCAGUGACAUGGUACAAGGUACAAGGAAUGAUCUUUAUCUCAAUAUAAUUAACCAAGAAAAUUAUCAACAUCAACAUAAUUAGUAUGCAAUUAAUUCAAGUCAUGGAGAAUCAGCGGAACCCUUUGUUUAAUUUCAUGCUCAUUAAACUUCUCUUGCGUUCCCACUCAGAUAAGAACAGUAGGUUGUGAGGACCAACUCGUAAUGCUUAGAUUAUAUUGGCAUUUGAUAUCAUGUAAAGCAUCUGGAACCACUAAAUUCUCUCUCUGAAAGAGGAAACUAAGAGAUCUUCAAUAGCAACGGCUUGCGAGGCAUAUUCAUGAAUCUAAUUCUUUCUCAGAGAUACUUUGAUAUGCCAAGUGGGAAUGAUCCGGUUGCUCUAGAUAUGACUGGAAUGGGGAAAGGCCUUGCAUGGGUCAAUGGAAACUGCAUCGGUCGUUACUGGGUAUCCUACCUCAGUCCCCUUGGAAAGCCUUCUCAGUCAGUGUAAGUACUGAACCCAUGUCUCUUUCUGAUGACAAAUACUUGCAUAUAUUAUCUCUAAUGCACCAUAGUAGAAGGCAUUGAAUUUUAUAGUUGUUAAUAUAUUUCAUCAUAAUUUGCCUUCGGCGCUGCAGGUACCACGUCCCACGCGGAUGGUUGAAGCCAAAAGACAACCUCUUGGUCAUCUUUGAGGAGAGUGGAGGGAAUCCAGAGGGCUUGCUGGUUGUGACUGUGAAGAGGGACAACAUCUGCACUGUUGUCACCGACUUGCAUCCCCCUACUAUUGAGUCAUUUUCGAGGGAGGACAGUGAGAUCAAGAACCUAGUCCAAGAUGGUAAGCCAAGUGCUCACUUGACGUGUGAUAAGAAGAAGGUCAUCCGCUCCAUUGCCUUUGCUAGCUUUGGGAACCCCACAGGCGCGUGUGGCAACUUCACAGUGGGAACCUGCCACUCUCCACAGACCGCAAGCAUUGUUGAGAAGGUAAUACUUCCACUAACAAGUGAAUAAAUCCCUGAGCUAAGACUGGCAACAGUGGGUAGUUAGCCUGCGUGACCUCAUGGAAAACUAGAUUUUCUGAGGAAACAUGCCUAUGAGAAGCUUGUGCUUUUCUGUCUCAUCAAAGCUUUGCUGCUCUUCUCAUUUCGUAGACUAGUUUUCUUAGCAAACAUACCUAUCUAUUGUAAAAGUUUCUCUCUGCUUUUGUCUUUCUCCAUCAUCUCAUCUGAACUCCAAGGAUUCAUUUUUCCCCUACUGAUCAGGCCUGCUUGGGGAAGAAUUCCUGUGUGUUACCAGUCUCAGCCCAAGAAUAUGGUGCAGACCCAGCUUGUCCUGGAACAACGAACACUCUUGCAGUUCAAGCUAAAUGUGCUCGGCAGAAGAAAGAAGACAAGGAUUGAUUCGCUAUUUCUUAUAAUACUUUAGUUCAGGAAUGUUGUAAUGAGACGUAACAUUGAAAGAGGCUGAAUGUGAUGGUGCAAAAUCUCGUCUGGAACGUUAUACUACAAUAAUAGGUGAAUGUAUCUGCUCAUUGGUGACAAUUUUCCCUUCUUUUCGUUUCAAGAGUCUCCUAAUAUAUUUUUUUAACGUUUGAAAUGGAUUGGAUUGGAAAGCGCUAGCAAUCCAUAUCGGAUUGAUUGCUUCAUUCAAACUAUUAUUAUGCUUGGUUAAGUAGCUUGCUCCGAUUGCAUUUAUUUCACUGAUGUCACCUAACAGAUGGUAAAAAAACUCUAUGAUAUUUGUUGACUAAUGGAACCUGAAAGAAGGUUACUCUGAUCAAUUCAGCUUCAGUGCAUGCUGGUUAGGGGGCAGAACAAUGUCCAUGAACUUAUAUUUUAUAGACCCCGGUACAAGUAUUGCAAUAUGGCACCCACUGACAUAAAUAUGUUAAUGAAUUUACAUUAAUGGAACCGAUUUUUUAAUUACCGGCGAUGAGUCGACAAUGAAAUCACUCAAAUAAAUUAUAUUAUAAAAUAAACUAUUGGGACAAUUCAACCAACCCCGAUCCCGAUUCUAUAUCGGUCGAAUGAACACAUUAGGCUGACUCACAAUCGAUUGACCGAUCGACAGUCGGCUAUUAUCAAUCAACAAAGGACAACCCGGUUAACCUCCGAUCGAAAACCAUCAACAUAUUAGAAUUACCGAUCGAUGCUCAUUCGAAUUUUCAAGACUACCAACUUACCACUAUUACCGACAUAUAGUCGGCCUAUCUUCUCAAUACACCUAACCAUUAUAAACGAUUAUCGAUCAUGUGUCACGGUCAUUAGUGGGCAUAAACAACCCAUUAACUUCAUGAUUAUGGUCCGAUAAUUUAACGCCAUAAAAAGCGGGACCACGUGCUCGACGGUUAUACCAGAAUCAUUUAUAAAAAGGAGGUAAAUGAAUAGUAUAGAUAAGACAAUUCUGGACAAACACCCUGUCAUUUUAAUUACUCAUUAUUUGCUGUUCACCAACUCUCUACUGACUUAAGCAUCGAAGGGUCCCCACCGGACACAAUUUCGGUCUGAGAGGAUUUUGUUUUGCAGGUGCUCUUCACCGGCGACAGACAACAGGGGAUCGGCCGCAACAGAUUGGUGCACUAAGAAGGAGAAAAACUACAAUCAACCAUGUCGAAAAUCAGAGCUUAACAUUUGACUGGAUCGAUGAGGCAGUCUUCCCGUCGGAAAGAUAUUCCUCCCUCAUCUCCAGUGGCAGAGCUCAGUUCUUCGCAUUCUGUGGUCACCACAGACGCACAGAUCGCUGCACUCAUAUAGCAAAUUAAAGUAUUAACAGAGGCGAUUCAAAGCUUCCAGCAGCAGUAAAUCCAGCAAUAGCAGCAGUCGUCGGUAGAGCAACUGGUGGCUCAAUCAGUGCCAUCUAGAUACAGUCGCCGUCCACCACGGUGCUCACCCUCUUUAUCUUCAGAGUGGCGACCGUCUCGGCAUUCUUAUCGAGACGGACGCAUUCUCGAUACUCCUAUCAUGCCACCCAUCUUUCACGGUGUUCUCCCUCUCCUUCUCGUGUAUAUAGUAUUAGGAAGGAGAAAUGGCCACGGACUCCUUCUGCUUCUCCCUCUUCGAGCUCUUCAGGGGGUUCUAUCCUAGGAGUUUUCCAGCAACGACGGCUUGACGACUAUGAACGUAAGUUCAAAGAGAUUGACCGCAAACUUGCUCGACUUUAGAUGGAAGGUUGGAAGUCUUCUAAUGACUACGACUUCUAUACUGCCCAGUCUCUCUCUCGACGUAUCCUGGAUGAACCAAUUCUCUCUUGGUUCAAGAUGCCGCAGAUGGAGCCAUACGACGGCUCCACCGACCCGAUCGAUCAUUUGGAGAGCUAUAAGGCUCUCAUGAUGAUCUAAGGAGUAACUGACAUCCUUUUAUACAUUAGCUUCCCAGCAACUCUUCAGAAGGAUGUCGAGCCUGAUAUUUUGAGCUUCAGUCGGAGAGUAUUAACUCUUUCGAGCAGCUAGAGCAUUCUUUCAUAGUCCACUUCAGUACUAGCCGAAGGUCGCCAUAAAUAUCAGACAGUCUCUUCUCUAUCAAGCAAGGUGAGACAGAGACGUUGAGGGACUUUGUGGCUUGUUUCAAUGUAGCCACACUUGAGUUCAGGGAUCUCCAUAAAAAUAUGACCGUAUCGGCCAUGAAGAGGAAUCUGAGGGGAUCAAGAUUCACCUACUUUCUAGAUAAAACUCUCCCUCGGAUCUAUGCUGAGCUUCUAGAGCGUACGUACAAGUAUAUUUGCGUAGAUGAAGCUGCUUCUGACCGACGCUAGACAGACGAAAAAGGUCAGAAGAAGAAAUAGAAAAAAAAUGAAGCUCCAGUCGAAUCAAAUAGGCCGACUGUCAAUAAACGAGCUUCACCUCGAUGACGGAGUCCGAAGCCAAGCAGCUACGAUAGGUAUGACUCCUACAUUCCUCUUUCUGCUCUCUGUGCAUAGAUCUUGAUGGAGAUCGAAUGAGAAGAGUACUUAUGACAUCUCCCACCAAUGAAAGCGCCAUCGAAGAGUCAAGAUAGGAAGAAAUACUGUCGGUUCCAUUAUGAUCACGAUCACAAUACCGAACAGUGUAUCUAGCUCAAGGACGAGAUAGAGAUCCUGAUUAAACGAGGCUAUCUCGAAAAAUUCUGAUGUGAUCGCUCGACUCAACCUCCCAUCGACCAACAAUCUCAGCCGUAAGCUGAGGAGACACUUAACAAUCAACCAAUGCCAGAAGUAAUCAACAUGAUCUCCGGACGAUAGAAGAACUGUGGGGCAACUUUUGAAGAAGAGUCAGUGAAGAAGCGACGACUCGAUAAUGUAAUUACUUUUUCGGAAGAAGAUGUUCGGAGAAUUCAAACUCUCCAUGAUGAUGCUGUUAUUGUCCCGACAACGAUAGCAAAUUAUGAUGUAAAAAAAUUUUAGUAGAUAAUGGAAGCUUAACGGAUGUUUUAUUUUACUCGACUUUCUUCCGAAUGCGACUAUCGACAGAUCGACUCAGGAGAGUCUCGACGCUAUUAGUCGGUUUCACUAGGGAUGCGGUUACCGUAGAAGAGAAAAUCACUCUCUCACUAACUGUCGGAAUAGAUCCAUGAUAGAGUACUGUUCUCUUAAUAUUCACGAUUAUCUGAAUUUUUUUAAUUUAUAAUGCCAUACUCGGACGAUCUGGACUUAAUGCUCUGAGAGCAGUAGUCUCGACAUAUUAUCUGCUUAUCUGAUUUCCGACAAAAAAUGAAGUCGGAGAGAUGCGUGAAGAUCAAUAACUUGCUCGACGCUGCUUUCUGAUUUUCAUACAAAAUAAUCAAUCAGAAGACUCUUUGUCCAUUGAUAAAUUGGACUAAAGUAAAAAUGAAAAAAGAAGUGAACCAGUCGAGCAAUUAGUUUUUAUCUCACUAAAAGAAGAAGAUCCUGAGAAGACGAUCCAAAUUGGAUCGCAGUUGCCUAAUCUGGAGCGGCAAUAACUAAUAAAUCUACUAAGAGCAAACGUCAACAUUUUUGCUUGAUCGAUUACUGACAUGCCAGACAUUUCUCUGGACGUAAUAAUCCAUCGACUAAACAUUAAUCCAAAGAUUAAGCCGGUUAGACAAAAGAAAAGGUCUUUUGCUUUCGAAAGAUAGAAGGUCAUCGACGAAGAAGUCGACAAGCUCCUCACAGCUGAUUUCAUCAGAUAAGCUAUUUAUCUCGAUUGGCUCGUCAAUGUAGUGAUGGUAAGAAAAACUAAUAAAAAAAAAAAUCUGUAUCGACUACACAAAUAUAAACGAAGCUUGUCCGAAAGAUAAAUUUUUUCUGCUGAAAAUUGAUCAACUAGUUGAUGCGACUUCAGGAUACCGACUCUUGAGCUUUAUGGAUGCCUUUACAAACUACAAUCAGAUUCGGAUGGCACCUGAAGAUGAAAAGCACACAGCCUUCGUAACCGACAAAGGCAUCUACUGUUAUAAAGUAAUGUCGUUCGAUUUAAAAAAUACCGGAGCGACUUACCAACGGCUAAUUAACAAGAUAUUUAAGACACAGAUCGGAUGAAAUAUGAAAGUUUAUGUGGACGAUAUGCUGGUAAAAAGUCCUCAAACUAAUGAUCAUGUUCAGAAUUUGAAAGAAGCCUUCAGCACACUUCGACGACAUCAAAUGAAGUUGAAUUCGACUAAGUGUGCGUUCGGAGUAACUUCUAAAAAGUUUCUCGGAUUUCUUGUAUCACAAUGAGGAAUUGAGGCCAAUCCCGAAAAAAUAAAGGCUAUUAUCAACAUGAAGUAUCUAAGCUCCAAGAAAGAGAUAUAGCAGCUCAACGGAAGGAUCGUCGCACUCAACCGAUUCAUAUCAAGGUCGACAGAAAGAUGCUUGCCUUUUUUCAAGAUCUUGAGACAAUCAAACGACUUCAUAUGGUCAGACGAGUGUCGACAAUCCUUCAAAGACCUAAAACGAUAUUUUCCAUCUCCACUACUACUCACAAAACCAAAGGUCGGAGCAACUUUGUAUCUUUACUUGGCGACUUCGAUGGAGGCAGUUAGUUCGAUACUUGUCCAAGAUGAUGAGAACCGAAUCCAAUAGCCUAUCUACUAUACUAGCAAGGUGCUUCACAAUGUCUAAGUAAGAUAUUCAAAAGCGAAGAAGAUGAUUUACGCUCUAAUCAUAUCAUCAUAAUGACUUCGCCCAUACUUUCAAGUACAUUCUAUCGUCGUCUUGACAGAUCAGUCGUCGAAGGUAAUCUUACACCGAUCUGAUACGUCGGAUCGAAUGGCAAAGUGGACAAUAAAAUUUGGUGAGUUUGAUAUCCAAUAUCGUCCACACCCAUCCAUGAAGGUACAAGUUUUGACCGACUUCAUCGUCGAAUGUAUAAUAUCUGAUAAUAAUCCUGAAAAUGAAUCUAACGAUAAAAUAAAGUAAGCUACAACUCCUGAGCUCGACUUAACGUCGGCAUGGGUGCUACAUAUUGAUGGAGCGUCUAAUGCACAAGACAGUGAAGCUGGUUUCAUCCUCACCAAUUUCGAAGGGAUUAUAACUGAAUAUGCCCUUCGAUUUAAUUUCAAAGCUUUGAAUAAUCAAGCCGAAUAUGAAGCACUCUUAGCCGGCUUGAAGAUUGCCAAGGAGCUCGACAUCAAUAACCUGAAGGUCUUCACCGACUCAUAAUUGAUUAUCGGACAGAUUAAGAGCAAAUUUGAAGCCCGAGACCUUGUUACGAUGAAGUAUCUUCAGAAGAUGAAAGAUCUUACGUCCAUUUUAAAGUAUUUUGAGAUAUUUCAUAUCCUAAAAGCAACCCUAUAUAUAUAGGAUCCCUCAACGGUCUGGAUGAAAUUGAUCAAAUUUGAAUCUCAUCAGAUGACGACACGUGGCAACAUCCAGACCGAUCAUUGGUUGGACGGUUCGACGCACCUGCUCCUGAUCGUGCCACCUGACCGUUAUUCGUGUGAACAAUUCCGACCUAAUGGUGUUUGGACACAUGGUCAAGAUCUACUAGUCAGAAUCAAAUUGUCUGGAUGUCCUAGAUACCGAGUUAUCUUAUCAAAAUGACAGUCCAAUAAUGAUUUCACAACUAUCGAAACAGUAAAACGAUCGAAGAUCUCUUGUAUUUCAAAGAUCAUAAAGACUAGCAGCCGAAUCGGAGCUUGAGGCAACACAUGAUGACUCUCUUCGUCCAACAUGACAGACCAUGUGAUAAUAUAUACGUCGAACCACCUUGAACUUAAGAGUGGGGGACAACUGUUGGGACAAUUCAACCGACCCCCAAUCUAGACUCUACAUCGGCCGAAUGAACAUAUUAUGCCGACUCACAAUCGAUUGACCGAUCGACAGUCGGCUAUUAUCAACCAACAAAGGAUAACUCGGUUAACCUACGACCGAAGACUAUCAACAUAUCAGAGUUACCGAUCGAUGCUCAUUCAGAUCUCCAAGACUACCGACUUAUCACUAUUACCGACAUAUAGUCGGCCCAUCUUCUCAACACACCUAAUCGUUAUAAAUGAUUAUCGAUUACGUGUCAUAGUCAUUAGUGGGCAUAAACAACCUAUCAACUCCAUGAUUAUGGUCCAAUAAUUUAACGCCAUAAAAAGUGGGACCACGUGCUCGACGAUUACAUCAGAAUCAUCUAUAAAAAAGAAGUAAAUGAACAGUACGGGUAAGACAAUUUUGAGCUAACACCCUGCCAUUUCAAUUACUCAUUAUCUACUAUUCACCAAUUCUUCGCUGACUUAAGCAUCGGAGGGUCCUCGUCGGACAUAAUUCCAGUAUGAGAGGACUUUGUUUUACAGGUGUUCUUCACAGAUGAUAAGCGAUAGGGGAUUGACUGCAACACAAACUUUAAGAUACUUUGAGACAAUGCAAAAGCUUCAAAACUUAUGAAAGAACUGAUAUCUUGCCUUUGCAUGUAAAAGAAAUGAAAUAAUUACAAAUGAAGAUAACAAAUGUGAGUUAUGAUACAGAAACUGAAAACAAAGCAUGGCUUGUUUUCGUUGUAAGCGUCAAACGAAAUGUAGGAUUCAUGGGAUUGCAUACUACUCUUGUGCUUACCAGCUACUGAACCAAGCUAUGUGCAGAGAACUUUCUAUGGUGAUGGUUUAGAUGGGAAUGACGUGUAAGCCUUCACUUAAUCCCCCAAUUAGUUCUCGAUAUGGUUUGUAGCUGAUAAAUAGCUGUCAUGUGUAAAGUCUCAACAAAUAUAUUCUCUUACUCCCAAGUAUUGAGAAAUUCUUUUGGCAGCUGUGUAAAAAAUUCGAUGUGAAACGCAUCGCUUUAUAUGAUUGAUCUAUAUAGUCAUCAUUUUUCAAUACGCAUUUAAUGCUUACAAUUUUAUUUUUUUCGUUUGAAAAUUUUGAAUUACGAAAAUACUCCUGCUCUUUCGAAAAAAUUAUGACAUCUUAUGUCUAUAUUAUGAUAUAUUGCGUGCAGAAAGUUAUAAUUUUGAUGCAGAAUAUCAUAAUAUACCACAGAAUGUCAUAAUUUUUUUCAAAGAGCAGGAACAUUUUCGUCAUUCAAAAUUUUCAAACGAAAAAAUAAAAUUACAGAUAUUAAAUGCAUGUUGAAAAGUGGUUGGAUAAAAAUGUCCUUUCUAUAUUAUAACAUCCUGGAUCAUAUUAUGACAUUCUACAUGCAGAAAGUCAUAAUUUGACAUAGGAUGUCAUAAUAUGCACCGGAUGUCAUAAUUUUUUUGGCCAUAUUAUGACAUCCUACGUGUAGAAAGUCAUAAUAUACCACGGGAUGUUAUAAUUUUUUUCAAAGAGUAGGGAUAUUUUCGUCAUACAAAAUUUUUAAAUAAAAAAAUAAAAUUGUAGGCAUUAAAUGCACAUUGAAAAAUGAUAGCUAUGUAGACCAAUCACAUAAAGCGGUGCACUCUACGUUGGAUUUUCUACACAGUUCGUGGUGCACAAAGAAUUUCUCCCCGAGUAUUUCUUUUAUGAUAGCUGCGUACCCUAGGUCGAACCCACAUAAGGAAGGCCUAGGGUCUUGUCCCAUGCGGUACCAUCUUAGGCGGUAUGUGGAUAAGAGCGAGAAAGGGAUGAGGGGUGUGGAUGCAUGGGUUUAUCACAUGUGUCCAUGUUGUCAAAAAAAAAAUAGUUGAAGGGGUGAGCACAUCUUCUUAUUGCGUCUCAGUCUCAGUCUCUUUCUUCUUCCGUUCUCCGAUCACUCUCUCUCUCACUCUAUCACAUUCUCUCUCUUUUGCAUUUUUCUCUACCACAUGUCUCUUAGGCCCUGUUUGGAAUUGCUGUUAGCAGUAGAGCUUUUUGAGUUUUUGAAAGUAGAGCUUUUGAGAAGUAGAGCUUUUGAAAGUAGAAUUUUUACAAAAAACUAUUUACUGUUUGGUAACCACAUUUAUAAAGUACUUUAAAACUUUAUCAUAUAUUUAAUAACUAAAAUAAAAAAUAUUUUUGAUAUGAUAAAAUGAUAAUAAAAGAUAUUGCAUAGUAGAGAAUAAUAUAAUAUAAUAUUAUAAUAUAUAUUAAAAUAUUAUUAUAAUAUAUAAUAUUAUUAUCAUAUAAUAUAUCAUAAUAAUAUAGUAUAAUAUAAUAUAAUUAAAAUAUAAUUUAUAAUGUAAUAUAAUAUGUUAGUUAUAAUCUAAUGUAAUAAUAGAUUAUAUUAUAUUAUAUUAUAUUAUAUUAUAUUAUAUUAUUAUAUUAUUAUAUUUAUUAUUACUAAAAUAUUAUUAUAUUAUAUUGUAUUAUUAUAAUAUUAUAAUAGAUUAUAUUAUAUGUCUAUAACAUAAAUAUUAUUAUAUUUUAAAAUAAAUUUUUAUUAUAUAAUAUUAUUAUCAUAUAAUGUUAUAUAAUAUAAUAUAGUAUAUACUAUAAUAUAAUAUUAUUAUAAUUAUAAUGUAAUAUAUAAUGUAAUAUAAUAUAAUGGAUUAUAAUCUAAUCUAAUAAUAAAUUAUAAUAUAAUAUAUUAUAUUAUAUUAUUAUAAUAUAAUGAUAUUAUAAUAGAUUAUAAUCUAAUCUAAUAAUAAAUUAUAAUAUAACAGAUUAUAUUAUAUUAUUAUAAUAUAAUAAUAAUAAUAUAAUAGAUUAUAUUAUACAUCUAUAACAUAAAUAUUAUUAUAUUUUAAAAUAUUAUUGUAUUGUAUAAUAUUAUUAUUAUAUAAUGUAAUAUAAUAUAAUAUAUGCUAUAAUAAAAUAUUAUUAUAAUUAUGAUGUAAUAUAUAAUGUAAUAUAAUACAAUGGAUUAUAAUCUAAUAUAAUAAUAAAUUAUAAUAUAAAAUAAUAUAUUAAUAUAAUAUAAUAUUAUUAUAUUAUUAAUAAAUAUUGUCAUAUCAAAUUAUAUUUUAAUAAUAUAAUAAUACUAUAAUAAAUUAUAUUAUAUAUUUAUAAUAUAUCAUGAUAUUAAUUUAUUAUUAUAUUAUAUUUAUAGUAUAAUAAUAUAAUAUGAUAUAAUUAUGAGAUUUAUUAGUGAAUAUUUUUGAGUAUUUUUAUCAUUAAAAAAAUUAUUUAAAUCAAAACAGCUUCCCGAAAUUAGUAACAAAACACUUUUGGGGAAGCUUCAAAAUAGAGCUUUCCCCAAGUAGACAUUUUUUAGCUUUCUGAUAAAGUCAAAAUAACUUUUUGAUUUCUUAUCAAAUAUCACUAUAUCAUCCCAAAGUGCUUUCUGGCACUCUAAAAGCUUAGCCAAACAAGACCUUAAUCUCUCUCUUUCAUUCUCACAUGUCCUGACACGACCAUCCUAUUUUCCUCUCGCAUAUCUCUCUCUUGUUCCUCUCUGGCUAGCAUCACAGGAGAAAUUCUUUAUACACUGCGGAUGGUGUAGAAAAUCCGAUAUAGAACACACUGCUUUACGUGAAUAAUCUACAUAGUCAUCACUUUUCAACAUACAUUUAAUGCCUGCAGUUUCACUUUUUCAUUUAAAAAUUUUAUAUGAUCAAAAUAAUUUUAUUUUUUGAAAAAUUUAUGACAUUCUGUGACAUAUUAUGACUUUCUAUAUGCAGAAUGUUAUAAUAUGAUCCAAAAAAUUAUGACAUCCUGUGUACAUUAUAACAUUCUGCAUCAAAUUAUGAUUUUUCGUACGUAGAAUGUCAUAACAUGACUCAGGAUAUCAUAAUAUAAUCCAGACGUCAUAAUAUAGAAGAUAUAUUUUUGUCCAGCCACUCUUCAAUAUAUAUUUAACGUCUAUAGUUUUUCUUUUUUGUUUGAUAAUUUUGAACCAGACAUCUCAGUAAGUAUUCGAUGGUUAUUAAAUAGCUUUUCAAUGUUUCUGACUAUUUUCUGCUAUCCGAAAAGAUCUUUGUAAAAAGCAAAGAAACAUAUGUCAUAAGGAUAUCGGAAAAUCAUUUUUCUAAAAUGGCCGAUGACCUUGAAACACUGAAAUGUUACUCUUUAUCAAGAAAUAACAAUUUAUAAUAAUGUACAUGUAUUCGUAUAUUACCUAUUGUCGAUAUUGAAAAAAACCCAUUUUACAGUCUAUAGAAUUAAAGGAAAAUUGAGAUAUUUUAUAAUUUUUGAUGCAACAGAAAUUUAAAUAUAACUAAUCUGACUUCCGUGCUGCAAACUUAAGUAACCCCUUUCCCUUGGAUUCGAGUCAUUUUCAUCUUGUACUGAUUUCAUUGUGUUAUGUGUAUGUCUGGCCAGGACACUACCUCCCAAGAUCCUUUCAGUACCAUGCGAUGCAGCAGGAAGAAAGAAGAAACAAAAUAAAAGAAAAAAAUAAUCAAAAUACGUGGAUCAGCUACAAAAAAGUUCGAUGUGGGUUGAAUCUCGAGGCGUCAAAUCCUAACAAUCUCCACCUCGACUCGAUAUUCAACCUCCUCCAAACUCUNNNNNNNNNNNNNNNNNNNNNNNNNNNNNNNNNNNNNNNNNNNNNNNNNNNNNNNNNNNNNNNNNNNNNNNNNNNNNNNNNNNNNNNNNNNNNNNNNNNNNNNNNNNNNNNNNNNNNNNNNNNNNNNNNNNNNNNNNNNNNNNNNNNNNNNNNNNNNNNNNNNNNNNNNNNNNNNNNNNNNNNNNNNNNNNNNNNNNNNNNNNNNNNNNNNNNNNNNNNNNNNNNNNNNNNNNNNNNNNNNNNNNNNNNNNNNNNNNNNNNNNNNNNNNNNNNNNNNNNNNNNNNNNNNNNNNNNNNNNNNNNNNNNNNNNNNNNNNNNNNNNNNNNNNNNNNNNNNNNNNNNNNNNNNNNNNNNNNNNNNNNNNNNNNNNNNNNNNNNNNNNNNNNNNNNNNNNNNNNNNNNNNNNNNNNNNNNNNNNNNNNNNNNNNNNNNNNNNNNNNNNNNNNNNNNNNNNNNNNNNNNNNNNNNNNNNNNNNNNNNNNNNNNNNNNNNNNNNNNNNNNNNNNNNNNNNNNNNNNNNNNNNNNNNNNNNNNNNNNNNNNNNNNNNNNNNNNNNNNNNNNNNNNNNNNNNNNNNNNNNNNNNNNNNNNNNNNNNNNNNNNNNNNNNNNNNNNNNNNNNNNNNNNNNNNNNNNNNNNNNNNNNNNNNNNNNNNNNNNNNNNNNNNNNNNNNNNNNNNNNNNNNNNNNNNNNNNNNNNNNNNNNNNNNNNNNNNNNNNNNNNNNNNNNNNNNNNNNNNNNNNNNNNNNNNNNNNNNNNNNNNNNNNNNNNNNNNNNNNNNNNNNNNNNNNNNNNNNNNNNNNNNNNNNNNNNNNNNNNNNNNNNNNNNNNNNNNNNCUCCUCAAUGUUCUCGCCAACGCUGAGAAGGUUGGUGAUGAUCUUCUGCAAGUGGCUCAAAUGCUCCUGCACGCUCUGUCCCUCAGUCAUCCGCAGUUGGUAAAACUGCCUCCAGAGGAAAAGUGUGUUGGUGAGAGACUUCACCAUGUACAACUCCUCGAGCUUCGACCACAGCACCGUCGGAGAAGUCUCGCUGAGCACAUGGAUCACCACCUCAUCCGCCAGGUACAUGCGGAUGGUACUCACCACCUGCAUCUGUAGCCGUUUCCAAUCCCACACCUCCAUGGUGGUCGGCUUCUCAUCGCACAAGAGAGCAUCGAUCAACCCCUGUUGGAUGAGCACGUCCUUCACCCUUGCCUGCCACAAGGAGAAAUUGCUCUUACCAUCAAACUUGUUGAUCUCCAUCUUGAUUGUUCCUGUUUUCUCCAUCUUCAGUCUUGCUCACCACCGCUGCAAUCUGCAUCCUUGUACCAACCUGGCUCUGAUACCACUUGUUGUGUGUAUGUCGGGUCAGGACACCACCUUUCAAGAUCCUUUCAGUACCACGUGAUGCAGCAGGAAGAAAGAAGAAACAAAAUAAAAAGAAAAAACAAUCAAAAUACGUGGAUCAACCACAAAAAGGCUCGAUGUGGACUGAAUUUCGAGACGUCAAAUCCUAACACAUUGUACUAAAGAUAUUUGUACGGUGAUUUCAGGUACCGAGUAUUUGGUGAUCCACCAUCUCAAAGAGCAGCCGAGGAUCUUGCAUAUGCCGUUGCACGUCUCUUCUCUGCAAAGCAUGGCACACUUGUAAACGACUACAUGGUAAGGAAUUCUUCUAAGCAAUGUUCGUGUUGAGGAAAAAGAGGGAACAUUUUCUUCUAAUUUAAUAUGCGUCACCUCUCUACACAGUAUCAUGAAGGAACCAAUUUUGGAAGGGAAGGUUCUGCAUUUGUGAUGACUCGAUACUAUGAUGAAGCCCUACUUGAUGAAUAUGAUCAGUCUAGUGCAACCUGGAUCCUCCCUAGUUAUUCCCCACAAUAGUGGGGUUUCUCUUUUCCUUCUUGAUAAUAAAUAUAUAUAUAUAUAUAUAUAUAUAUAUAUAUAUAUAUAUAUAUAUAUAUAUAUAUAUAUAUAUAUAUAUANNNNNNNNNNNNNNNNNNNNAUAUAUAUAUAUAUAUAUAUAUAUAUAUAUAUAUAUAUAUAUAUAUAUAUAUAUAUAUAUAUAUAAGUUGCAUUAUACACUCAACUCUUUCUGAUGAAAUUUUGUUCAGGUCUGGACAAGGAGCCCAAAUUUGGACACCUAAGAAACUUGCAUCAUGCAUUGAAAUUGUGCCAGAAGGCUUUGCUUUAUGGGAACCCCCUCUAUCCAAAACCUGGGGAAAGGUUACGAGGUAAGAAUUAACAUUAACAUUUGAACCGGUCACAGAUUUUUAGUUAGCACACACUGGUUGAAUCCUUUCAAAGCCAGAGCUAGCAACAAGGAUUGAAGUCUUCAUCUAGUUGACUAAUUUAAUUGGUUGUAUGGCAUUCUGUCAUCUAAGUGGCAAAACUGUGGUUUGUAUAACAAGGAAUUGCACAAAAUGUUGUUGGUAUAAUGAUCUGGUCUUUCUAUCUGCAGGUUGUGAUAUAUGAGAAACCCAAGGGAAAGGUUUGUGCUGCUUUCCUCACAAACGCCAAUCCAAGAAUAGUUGGGACUGUGAACUUCAGAGAUGUAGAAUACUCUCUGCCUCGCCGUUCUAUCAGUAUCCUACCAGAUUGUAAGGCCGUAGUCUUCAACUGUCAGAGGGUAAUAUGGUAUACCAACUCUACUUGGUCGAUUUUUUUUCUGUAAAGAAAAAGGAAAUCAUAAAGGACAGGCCUAAAUUUAUGUGAUAAAUGCCAGUUGAUAGUUCAUUGUUCAUGUUAACAAGCUAAAUAUGAGUUAUCCAAUAAGUAAGAACUAGUACAGUUUUAUUUAUAUUUUAUCAUUUUGUUAAAGAAAAUAUUUGCAGGUGAGAGUAAUAUCUCUUUUGCGGAUUGUUGCGGUCAAUCUUCUCGUCGCCUGAUCGCCGAAGAUGCACACCUGCAAGAAAAGUCCUCACUGAUCGGAGAUGUCUCCGGUGGAGACCCUCCGAUGCUCAAAUUAGAGAAGAGACUAGAUAAUAGUGAAAAAAAUCAGAAGACUUAGCGAGAGGGAGAGAGCUUACCAACAAUGUUGCCUUACCCCAUUUUAUAGUAGAAUGCGGUAUAGUCCCACCAUUAAUGGUGCAGAUAACUGAGGAGUUAUCAAAUCGUCGGGGGCUAUCAAAUCAACGUGGGUUGUUAAGUCAUCAGGAUUAACCCAUGUUCUUGACAGGACAAUGCCCCAGGACGGUUGCACAGCAUGUCCUUGACAGGACAACAGCCCAUAGCGGUUGUAUGGCGUUUGGACGGACUGGUCGACUAUAUGUCGGUAUUCGACUGCCGAAACGUCGGAUGAUGACUCGAAAAUACCGUCGGCUGAUCUGGUGCCUUGUGAAAGUCGGACGUCGGCUGCCACCCUCGAUAGUGAGUCGGUGAUAUGGAUUCGACCGUUCGAUCGGUUGGAAACAAUAUUAGUCUGUUCGAUCGACAUACCUUCGAUCGGAUAUCGUCGGCAGUCAUUGUCGGAGUCGUUUGUCCGUCCGAUGAAUAGAGUCGGAUAUCGAUCGGAUCGUUUCGAGAUAAGUCGACAUAUAAGGAUCAGCUGGUAUACCCCAACACGGAUGUUAACAGACAACUGCCCAACACAAUGCAAGGACAUUCCAUACA
Molecule: long non-coding RNA, 50166 nt
Filed under: Elaeis guineensis (African oil palm)
Lineage: Eukaryota; Viridiplantae; Streptophyta; Magnoliopsida; Arecales; Arecaceae
Description: long non-coding RNA (EGUI_LNC025088)
Source: RNAcentral